RNAcentral lists this long non-coding RNA (57058 nucleotides) under Phaseolus vulgaris (common bean). RNAcentral's name for it is "long non-coding RNA (PVUL_LNC004767)". The stretch from base 38815 to 38953 matches the Rfam family "Small nucleolar RNA Z247". The record is from RNAcentral. Lineage: Eukaryota; Viridiplantae; Streptophyta; Magnoliopsida; Fabales; Fabaceae.
UAGAAAACAGGUAUGACAUCCCUUCCAAAUCUCUUCUUGCAUUCAAGUAUCUUAGUGAGUUCAUUCAAGCACCAAGUGGAAGAUGCAUAGUCUUGGGAGAAAACGAUGACAUAAAUCUUUGAUUCUUCUAUUGCAGAGAGGAGAGCAGGUGAAAUUUCUUCGCCCCUGUUUAAUCUGUAAUCAAUAUACGCUUCAAUGUUCUUCCUCUGCAGCGCUGCAUAAAGGUGACUAAUGAAGUUGUCACGUGUGUCUUCCCCUCUGAAGCUGAGAAACACAUCAUGCUUUGUUAGAGAAGUAGACACGGGGAAUGAUGAAGAACUUCCUGACAUUGGAAUCAAUUUUCUCUCCUUUCUCUGCAAAUCUCAGAUUCCUUUGUUUGUACCAUUUCUACCUGAAGAAGUGUUUAAAUUUUCUCAAAAUACCUUGCACAGCGUGUUCUGGUCAGACAUAAAGAAAAAGACAAAUAUUAAGUUAAUAGAAUAGUCAACAAUUUAAAAAAUAAGUAUGAAAUAUAGAUAUAUAUCAUUAUCACGUGUGGAAGCUACGUCGUCUUGUAUUGGAUUUUCUAAUCUGCCUUUUAUCUUGUCUCAUUCUUCUUUAUCUUUUUUCUCUCAUCUCUCUUGCUUACGAUUUCUUUGCCUUUAUUCAGAAAUUUUAUUUAUAAUAAACCUUCAAUAAUAUUUGUACUUUCUAGCAUAUAGAAUACUUAAUGGAUCCUUUUCUGAUUUUUCUUUUCUAAAGUGCAAUUGAUAUUUUAAAUGUUUUUCUAUUUAAUUUUCCUUUCUUAAUGACACAUAAAAUGGUUCAGUGCACAAUUAAUUACUCUCACCUUAGAUUUCAUUCAUCUCAUUCCAUUUCCACACUCAAAUCAUUCUCACAUUUGUUUCUACCUGUUUCACAAAGUUUUAGUUAAAAUAUGGAAAUUAAUGUUCAAGAACCCUACUUAAUAUUAAUAUUCAACAAUUUAAAAUAUUAAAAUGCAAAUUAAUCUUUCUUAAUAAUGUCAUUUUUAUGUAAAAAAUAAAAUGUAGUUUAGUCAUUUAUACUUAGAUGGAUAAAGAUGGUUUUAGAAAAAAAAAUGCAUUUUAUUUCAAAGGUUAUCUAAGCUCUGAACUCAUUUAUGAAUUAAUAAUAAUAAAUAAUAUGUAAUUGUAUUCCAAUACCAUAUAAUUUUUUUUAUUGGGUGCGUUUCUGAUGAAUUAAUUAAUGCACUCUAGGGACAAUGAUCGCUCUAGUAUUUGAUUUUUUUAUUUAUUUUAAUGUUGAAAUUAUAGCUAUUUAGUACAGAUACUAUUGACACCGACACAGAUACGACACAGACACAGAGAUACUUAAAAUCUCUAAAAUGUAAGAUACAGAGACAUUAAUCUAUAUAUUAUAUAAUUAUGAAUUAUAUAAAUUAACAAUAAAGACUUAUGUGCACAAGUAUUUUGGAGAUUAUUUUUUAAGCAGAAAUAUGUUUUUCAUGACUGUUUCACAAAGAUUUGUUUCUUAUUUUUAUAAUCAUAAUAACAAUUUAUACCAUAAAGUUUGAAUUUUAGAAAAUUAAUGUAUUUUUUCUUUUUAAAAUUCCGUUAGAAUCGUACUAAAAUUGUAAAAAAUCUAACAAAUACAUUUUGAAUUGGACAUUUCACAAAUACAUGUCCUACCAGUAUCAUACGAAUGUAAACAAAAUUCUUUCUUCAUAUGCCGCAUUCUUUUACUGUGAUAACUCAUUUCAACUCUCUCACAACUGAUUCGUAAUCUGUGGGAUGCAUUAAAGCCUUUUGCAGUUAAAUCAAUAGUAUAUGAUGAUGUGAAUGUUAUUUAUAUACUAAAUAUAAUCACAUAGUAACUUCAAAUUUGAUAAGGUACAACAUGUUACCAUAUCUCUUUUAAUUUCUUUUAUUUCAUUAUAUAUUUAGGUGUAUUUAAUUUCUUUUUAUUUCAUUGUGUAUUUAGGUGUAUUACGUAAAAUAUAUAAUUAAAAAGAAAGAAGAAUAAUGUUAUUUUUAAAUUUAAAGAAUGACAUAUAGAAAUAAACAAGCUAUUUUGAAAUUUUUAGAUUUUACAAAACAUUACAUUUUGAUUUUAAUAUUUAUAAAAUAUUUUUUAAUUUCAUAUUUAAAACACAACACUUAGUUGAGUGUGUUCCUUAGUUACUUACCAAAUAACAACAUACAUCUUAUCGGGUCUUUUUGCGACCCGACCCAAACUCAUCUCGAUCCUAGUAGGGUUCGCAUCAUCUUCAAUUGAGGAGUAGAUUUGUCAGGAGGAAAAUAAAUUGAUUUAUAAGAACAUGUGAAGUUGUUUAGAUUGAGGAAUAAUAGAUGGAUUUUGAUUAUGAUUUAUGGUAAGUUUAAAAAAAAUAGAUUUGUUUCUUUUAACAUUUUUUGUAUUAUAAUUAUUUGCUGGCUGAAUUGUUUUGAGUUAACAUGUUUUCUUGGGGUAUGAUAUUGUGAGGUUUUAUUACAUGCAGGUACGUGAAUAUUUUUUUUAUUCUAGUUGUAUAAAUCAGGAAAAAAUGUUUUUCACAAUAUAAUUAUAAUAACCGUUUAACAACCUAAAUAAUAAUAAAAUAUUAACUCAUAUUAUUUAAUUAAAUUAUUAAAUAAAAAGUAGUAAAACUGAUUGUAGGAUGGGAAUAUGAUUAUUUUUAACUGCUAGCUCCUCAUUAUUCUUUUAUAAUAAAAAACACACUAGUAGGUGUUGAAAAUCGUAAUAUAACAAACAAGUUUUGACACACGUAGGUUUGGCAAUUGUUUUAAUAGCUGAAAAUAGUAAAACAAUUUUUAAUUACCACAAACUGCAUCUUAAAUCAUAAAAAAUAGCAUUUUUUAGUUCAUAUAUAAUAACAUUUCCAUAAAUAAAUCUCCCGCCGCCAUUGAUAUUAAUCAUUAAUAAUUUUAGAUAAUAUUUUUUACUAUAAAACAUUUAAUUGAGAUUGAAUUUUUAAUUCACACUUUUUGGUCAAAGAAUAAUAUAUUUCAUUUUUUUAUUUAUUAAAUAUUUUGUAUAAUGCUGAGAAAAAAAAAUCUCACACACACACACACAUAUAUAUAUAUAUGAUCCCUAUGUCCUACAAGUACAAUAUAACAUCGUUAGUAUAAUGAAUAAAAAUAAUGAGUAUUCAAAGUCGUGUAUUUACGUAAAAGAAUAACAUGAUUUUUAAAAGAACUCACAUUAUCAGUUUAAAUUUUGACGAUAAAAUACAUUAAUUAUAUAUAUUUAUUCAAAAUUUCAAUUAUAUUAUGCAUUAAUGGUUUUAUGCUUUUAGAGGAAUCAGAGAAACUUAGAAAAGCUUAAUGAAACCCUAUGAAUAAAGGAGAUGUAAAAGAAAGAGAAAAAGGAAGUGAGAAAAGAUGAUAAUUAAUAAACACCCACUCUUCAUAACAUAGAGUCUUUAAACCUAUAUUCCCUCAAACAGCAUUUAUAAGUUAUUAUCACCCACAUGGAAUAAGGUGCCUCAAUGUGAACAAACCAAGAUCAGUAAGAAAUAUGAGGUUCAAAUAACGAAGCUGAGAAUUUUCUGGUUUUACAGCUCCAUGCACAAACCUAAUACAAUGAUAUGAUAUUCCAUAGGAUGGAGAAAAGUAUGAUAUGAAGAGGAUUUACCAAUUACCCUUUCGAAUGCAGCUCCUCAGGAUUCCAUCAUGCCUUCACUGCACAUGCAACCCAAAUAUGCUAAAGAAGUUAAUCAAACCCAAAUAUAAAGAAUUUCUAGAGAAUGCAACUCUGGGACAACAGAGUACCCCAUCUCAAGCUGAACAGAAACAUUAAACUAUAUCUAACAAUAACUUAGAAAUCUUUGUCAACAAUGAACGAAUCCAACCGUAAAAUGCCAUUGAAAAUGUAAAUAAAACAAAAUAAAUUAGAUAUGAGAAAUUCAUGAUAAAAUUUCAACACUUGUAAUGUAGAAGCAUUACGAUAAGCCAGUUUUGAUCCUCACCAAUGAAAGUCUAAUUAGCAGAAGAGGAAGAGACUAGUUGACUGGGUAGCUUUCUGCAAUGCCUAUUUUAAGGUUACGCUUCCGGCAAAAAUAUAAUAGAAGACUGCUCUCAUGUCAAAGUUUCUCAUACAUAGAACAACCCGCAAAAGAGAUUAAACAUUCCAAAAGAUGUCUCAACAGAAAUGAAAUGAGAUCCUAACAACUUGUUGGGAAAGUACUAUUUUGCCUUCAAUUCCAUUACUUCCUUUUGCCUUUAAGAGUGCAGUCAUAAUCAUCAAAAUACUUAGACUUUGUGAUAUGUCUUUUGGGCUUGCUAUUCAUCUUUUGUUGCCUCCUCUUGAGCCAUAACACUUUUGGCCUUCCUCUUCCUAUAUUCCCUUGUGUCUCUUGAAGACUGUGCAACAUUACUUCGACUGGAUUAUUCAAUGUGAACAGCACCACCAUAUUCAUCAUCUUUCUUUUUGGAAUAAAGAGGGCAUAUGCCGCAUUCUUUUACUCUGAUAUCGGGCCACCAAUGGCUGAUCUCAAAAGUGAAGCUGCGAGCAUCACAGAGCCUAAGGCUCAUGCCGCUUGCCCUUAGGGACUCCAAGUUAAAUUUCCACACAAAUGUGUGAUCUUUAUCAAGAAAUCUGCCUGCAUCCGUCAAGUUUAACACAUCAUUAUUUGGAAUGAUCUGUGUGCCAUCAUCAUCAGAUUCAAAUUUUAGGCUGUAACCAAAAGAACUAUAUCUACCUUUAAUAUCAUUCGUAUCUAACACUUCAAAAACCACGCACAAAGAGAAACCAGUGAGCCUAUUAUCGCUGCAAAAACUUAAAUCUUCAUUUAUAGUCACUGAAUGUCCCUUCCCACGAAAAUGGAACCAACCAGGAACUGCACUCCCUGGAUAACAGAAGAACACAGACCUAUAUGCAUCGUCGGUCAUCCUAAGCCUUGCAUCCUUCUCAAUGUUAGCACGACCACCUGAAUCCAGUUGUUGAGCAUUGGUGAAAUGAAAUUUGAAUACACCCUCUUUGGAAUUUGAGAGGUUCCGAACAAGAGAAUUUGACAUCACUUUUCUAAUGGAUGGGCAAUCCAAUGCCACGAGUUGUUUUAGAAAUGGUGGAAUCGGUGGGAUGCAUUCAAGCUUUUUGCAGUCGCUUAAAUCAAGCGAUUUCAAGCUCGAAAGAUGAGCAAUGCUCUCAGGAAGGUUCACGAUUCCGCUAUCACGCAGUGACAGUUCCAUUAAUGACGUCAAACGACCAAUGUGCCUUGGGAUUUCUGUUAAUUUGGCACACCCCGAACAAUCAAGUUUAGAGAGAAGCUUCAGAUUAACAAUGCAGUUUGGAAGUGACUCGAGAUCAGUGCAUUUGCGGAGCUCCAGGGAACGAAGAUUAACGAAAUUGGCAAAUGAGGAAGGCAGUUCUUUAACAGUCGUAGAUGUUAAGUUAAUGUGAGCAAAAGUAUGAGCCGACUCCGUGAUCUCUGGGAAGGUCCUCAGCCUUGAGCAACCACGCAAAUCAAGGUUCCUCAACUUCAAAUUGAAAAUGGUGCUUGGAAAAGUUUGAAGUGAAUUACAGUGGGCAAGGUCUAACUUGCAUAGUCUGGUGAGGCUUCCAAUGGAAGAUGGAAUAAUCUCAAGAUUGAAGCAACUGUGCAAACUCAGUUGUUGAAGCCCUACCAAACGGCACAAGGAUGAAGGUAGUGCCUGUAUGGCUGUGUCGUCUAAGAUGAGCACCGCUAGAUCUUCCAACGUGUCCUGAAUCUCGGGUAAAUUUUCCAGUUUUGAGCAACCACUGAGACAAAGUUGCUUUAGGAAUUUCAUAUCAGAAAGGUCAAACGGAAAGAUUGUAAGGGAAGAACAGUCAGAGAGAUCUAAGUAACAGAGGUUCUUGAGACUUUGAAAGUUUAAGGGCACACCUUCCAAGAGACUGUUGAACACCUCUGAGUCUUCUGAGUCUGUAGCAUUAUUAGCCACUUCUAUAUUAUAUCUGUCAAAAGUAAUUGACAAAAUUUCACUGCUUGGGGAAAUUUCACUGGAAGUUGGGAAAUUUAUCUCUUUCGUCAUAUCCAGUUCCUGACGCUCCAGUAUGACAUGAGGGAGAAAUUUAUCUUCAUGUUUACUGAUUGAAAACAUAUUAAGCUUCCGACAAUGGGAAAGAGUAAUCCAUCCUGGUGAUGUGGAUAAAAUGUUGCUCGGAAUAUUUACACUAUUCAGAUCAUCACAAUGAUCUAAACAUAAACAACUGAGUUUGCUGAGGAAUAUCGAAGAGUGAAUUUCAAUCAACUUUUUACAAUAACUCAGAAUUAUUUUUUCAAUAUUUGGUGACAUAGAAAGGUCUGGUAUUCUAGCAAGUUUCCAAGAACGUGUCAGGUCGAGCCUUUUCAAGUUGGGUAAAUUCUGCCACAAAAAGUAAAUGAAUCAGGUAACAAAUAAUAACUACUUUAUCUAUUUUUCUUCCUAUUUAAACUAUUAGCUACUACUAUUGAGUUUAUAUUUUACAUUACUUAAAAACCACUGUUAAAAAAGCCACACUGUGGACUAACAAAAUUAUAUUUUAAAAUAUUAUUAAAGAUAAAAUAUGAAGAUAGGGUAAUUAAAUUAAAUAUAAUUUUUAUUUUUCAGAAAUGAUGAAAAUUAUAAUUAAAUUAACUAAAUUAUAUAAAAUUCCAUUUUAUUUACAUAACUCCUUUUCAUAUUAAAAAACUAUAUAAGAUCUUGAAACUAUAAUUAAUAUCUUAAAAAUUUAAAUAAUAAUAAUUAUUUCUACUCAUCCUUAAUUUUUGUUGGUGAAAUCUUGAUUUUUGGGAUAAUAUCACUUAAACUUAAGAAAUAUUUGACAUUAAUGAACUCUAAACAAAUUUAUAUAAGAAAUCAAGACAUCACUUUCAAUCCGAAAUCUUAAACUAAUAGGUUUAUGGAUUUUCUUUAUAUGUUGUUCAUCUUACCAAUUUGAACCCAAUGCGAGACUUUCAACUCUAAGAGAUGAAGUGGUGUACUUUAUGCUUCUAGGACUUGUUAGAUAUUGAAACAUGUACCAUUGCUAAAAUGUUUGAAUGAAGGAGAAGUCAAAGUCUCUCUCCUUUAGAGAUAUUCGCUCAAGUGGCAAGAGGUUGAUUAAGCAAGAGAGAGAUCGUAUUAAUUCUCUCUUCUAUGCAAUUGUUGUCGUUCAAACAAUGUGGAAUCAUUCAAGCAAAGAAAUCUUCUUUUGGGUUAGGAAACAAGGUUUUUCAAGCGAGAUAAACUCGUCUAAAGAAUUUAACUCUAGUAGUGAAAUGUUGUUGCCAUGAUUUAGCCAAGUGUUUGUAUCUAUGAGGCUAAUGAUGAUGAUGACGAUGAUAAGAUGCAUGAAUGUGUAUACACAAGUGUAUGAUAUACCUCAUGUUAUAUAUUGUAUGUGAUUCAAUUGAUGACCAUUUAUUUUUAGGCCAUUUAUAUGUAUAUUUUGGCCCUUUUAUGAGUAUGUGACGAGAUAUACCUAAGAUUGUAUUAUGAUCCUAAUGAGUCGAAGUAUCAAACACAAAACUCAUUAUGGAAAAAAAAAGAUAUUUUGUGCAUCAGUUAUGAUAUGAUCACAACAAUUAAAGCAUGUGUGAACGGUUAAUAUUGUUCUUAAUAAGAAAACAAAUAAUAUUGUAUGUGACAUUAGAGAUGUCAAAUAGGUUUAGAAAAUUAUUAAGUUUAAUUAUCUUUUUAGUCUUUAUAUUAAUGACCAAAAGUCAAUUCAGAUUUUUAGAAAGUUCAAUAUGAUUUAAUUUUUUAAAAAACAAUUCAAUGUGAUUCCUUCUAGUAUAUUUCCCUUAUUAAAAUAUUUUUAUCUUAAUGAUUCUGCCACUGUUAAGUUAUAUGUGUUGUUAUCACAUUGAAUUGUUUUAAAAAAAUUUGGAACCACCACAUUAAAUUGUUUUAAAAAGUUAGUACUAAAUUGAACUUUUGAAAAUUGGGAGAAUGAAAUUAAAUUUUGUCUAUUAAUACAGGGACAAAAAAUAAUUGAAUCAAAUAUUUUACUAUUUUUGUGAUGUAUAUUUAUAUAUAAAUAAUUUUGAGAAUUUAGAGUUACAAUGUGUUAUAUCAUAUAUAUAUAAUUCUUUUUGGUAAUGUAUCCUGUAGUUGUAAGCAAGUAUGAUUAUAUUAAGUGGGGCGUUUCAAAUAGUGGAGACUACGCAUAUACAAAUAUCUCUUAUAAAGUAAGAAAACAAAACAAUCGUUACUCAAGAAGAUCAUGCAAUGCAUCACAGACAACAUGGGAGAUAUAUAUCAACAAUAAUAUGAGUAAAUAAUACAUUCAUGGGCCAUUAGACGAUAUGCCUAAAAAAAAUAUGCAAACUAUUAAAUUUAUAAUUAUUUUUAAUUAGAAACAUGCUGAGUAUGACUCUUAUGAUAUAUGUAUAACUGUGUGCUUCAAAUAAAAGAAAUUUCAAAUCGAAUAAUGUGGAGAAGGCACAAAGGAAUUGCAAAUGAAAACCUGUAGAUGUAUAAUACACAAAACAUGCUUGUCUAAUUUAUUUUUAUCUUUGAAAGUUUAGAACACAAAGGAACAUAGAUAACUUGAAAAACCUGAUCUCCUUCCCAGAGUUGUUCAAGAUCGCAGUAUGGCAUUUCGAGGAUCACUAGAUUUUGUGGGCAAAAGUUUGGAGGCCAGAAUCUUUGAAGGAAACCGUUCCAAUAAAGAAACUUUAGAGUGUCCGGCAGACCUACAAGAGAUGAUUCAAGAGACACUUUUGAAUUCAAUCUAGGCAUGUAGACCAUAAGCAUCAUAAGAUUGUCCAUCUUUUCGAAACUUUGUGCAUGUACUACAGCAUCUUUUACUUUGUUCGUAUGAUAUUGAUAUACACUGUAUUGCAUCUGACCCCUGAAAGUAAAUCAAUGUAAUUAGAAAAAAAAACAUGAAAUGUUGCAUUUCAGGAUGCUUAAUGACAGCUCAGUAGUUUUCUAUUUUUCACAAAGUAACAACAGCAUAUACCUUGUUCUUUCUUAAAACCUCACAAAUUUCCUCAUCAUUAAACAAUCGGCUGCGUUUUCCAGGAUGCUGAGGACACUCUUUACGAACAAUUUCUUUACCCAUUUCUUGUAUUAGAUCGUGCAUCACAAUUCUACCAUCAAAGACAGAGAUUAGACCCCUAUCUUUGAGAAUAUCCAUUCCAAUCUUAGAAGAGAAACCACAGUCAUCAAGUGUUUCUGCUACCACAGUCUCCUCUUGCCCUCUAUAAAAGCAAGCUAUGUCAAGAAAUAUAUUCUUCUCCUCCUCCUUGAGCCCAUAAUAACUUAAUUUUAAUACGUCGAAAGUUCCAAGAUCUUGGCCGUUUUCCAACUUUUGCAACUGACUCUCCCAUGCUUCUCUUGUUCUGCCAUAAAGCAAUGACCCCAAAAUCUGGAGAGCUAACGGAAUUCCUUUUGCAUAUCUCAACACCUUUACUGACAGGUCCAUGUAAGCAAUUCCUUCUGAAGAUUUUUGUUUAAAAGCAUGUAAACUAAAAAGUUUCAGAGAAUCAUAAAAAUUCAACUCCUUAACUUCGUAGAUAUCAUCAGCUCCAGCAUUCUUAAGCACUUGUCUGUCUCUACUGGUCAUAAUGAUUCUACUGCCCUGCCCAAAACUAUCACUCCCACCUAUUAAUUUUUGAAGUUGAGUUGAAUCGGUAACAUCAUCAAGAAUGAGGAGAACCUUUGUCCGUUUGAGCCUUUCAUUGUAAUAUGGUAAAUAAGAGGAUUUCUCUUCCUUUAGAAGCUCAGACUGAUAUUUUGUUCUGAUACCGUCUAUUCCAUCUCUUUGUAUUUUUUCUUGAACGUCUAAAACAAGGCUGCUGGAAUCAAACUGCAAUGCCAAUUUCUGAUAUAUUUGAUCACAAAUUGUAGUUUUUCCUAUUCCUCCCAUGCCACAAAUUCCUAUGAUCCGAACAUCCGUUGACUCAAGAUGCAACAAGGACUGAAUUCCUUCAAUAUUUUUUUCAAUGCCGAUGAUUCCUUGAUCAUAACUGGCGGAAUAACGAUUCAAUUUUCUCAAAAUAUCUUCCACAAUUUCUUCAACAAGUGCGUGUUCUGGCCUGGCAGAUGAUUUAGAAAAUAAAGUAUAAGUAUUCAAGCACAAAAGCUAAAGUAAACUAAAGAAAAAUUUUACAGUAACCGUUUGUGACUUCUGAUACUAGGGAGCAUACUUGUAGGUACAAAGUUAAGCUAUUGUGUGAUAUGGUUCAGAUCUAUGACCGACUAAUAGAAAUGAAAAAAGAAGCACUUGAUUUAUGGUGAGAUGAACACAAUUUUAGUAAAUGAAAAGAGAUCCUGAUUAUCUAAUAAAUAUAAUGACCUGGUGACUUUUGAAUCCCAGCCUGCAAGUCCAGCAGCUUCGGUGAGAGCAUCCUUCCAUCCUUGCACUGUGUCGUGCUUAAAGUGCUGCUCAUGCUCAUUGAAUGCUUCUUUGUAUCUUUCUUCCUGCUUCCUAAUAGUUGAUGGAUCCACCUUGUAGAAAACAGGUAUCACAUCCCUUCCAUAUCUCUUCUUGCAAUCAAGUAUCUUAGUGAGUUCAUCCAAGCACCAUGUGGAAGAUGCAUAGUUUUUGGAGAAAACGAUGACAUAAAUCUUUGAUUCUUCUAUUGCAGAGAGGAGUACAGGUGAAAUUUCUUGGCCCCUGAGUAAUCUGUAAUCAAUAUAUGCUUGAAUGUUCUUCCUUUGCAGCGCUGCAUAAAGGUGACUAAUGAAGUUGUCACGUGUGUCUUCCCCUCUGAAGCUGAGAAACACAUCAUGCUUUGUUAAAGAAGCAGACAUGGCCAAUGAUGAAGGGUUUCAAUGUUCUCUGCAACUCUCAGAUCCCUUUGUUUGUAAGCAACUUCCAUAUAUUCUAUUAGGAAGGAAAAUAUAUAUUUCUACCAUUCCUACCACAAAUUGAAAAAGCCUUUCAAUUUUCUCAAAAUAUCUUUCACAGCUGUGUUCUGUCAGAUACGAAACAUUGAGUCAAUGGAAGAGUCAACAAUUGGCAGAAUAUUAUGGUGUGUAGCUUUAUACCAUUCUUACAAUAUUUGAUUGGUUGAAUAUAUACAAUAUGACUAAUGAACUUUUUUCUUUUCCGUAUUCCACGAUAAUUCCCUAGGCACCCUAUUAUACACUUUCUUAUCAACGGAAACCAUGUCUGUCCUUUUAUAGUUUUAAUCCUAUAAUAUCUUUCCAUUAAUCAUCAUUAUCACUCUUCAACCUUCAUAUCAAGUGUAUUGAUUUCAUACUUCAUCAGCUAGACAUAAUAAAAUCUCAAUAAUCUUUUAUACUGUCAACAUUUAUAAAAAAUAUUUCCUUCAAUAAUAUUUGUACUUUCUAGCAUAUAGAAUACUUAAUGGAUUCUUCUGUGAUUUUUCUUUCCUAAAGUACAAUUGAUAUUUUAACAGAUGCCGAAAGGUCUUGAAUAUGAGGCUGUUUCGAAAUGAAAAUUGGGGUAAAGCAUUUUCAAGUUAACAAGUUUUGUUGGGUGAGUGAGUGAUCAGUGCUAGCAUUUUCAAUCUCAGUUAUAGAAUGUAAAGAUUUACACAUUUAUUUGCUGAUUAAUAAUUUAUUUAUUGAAUUAAAUGUUUUAACAGUGAGUAUGGAUUCUUGAAUGAAUGUAAUCAUGGUGUAGAAUGUACAUAGUACAUAUAGUGAGUUGGAUUGAAAUGUUGAACACGUUUUCCUCUGCAAAGAUUCAGGAUAUUUAUGAACUUGCUAUAAAUUGUUUUAACUUUUCUCUGCAACUCUCAGUCCCUUUGUUUCUACCAUUUUGUUUUUGAAAAGCCUUUCAAUUUUCUCAAAAUAUCUUUCACUGCUGUGUUCUGUCAGAUACGAAACAUUGAGUCAAUGGAAGAGUCAACAAUUCGUAGAAUAUUAUAUUAUGGUGUCAAUAUUUAAUAAAUUUAUUUAUUUCUUUAACAUAUUUUAGAAAAUAACCAGUAAACAUAAAACUUUUAGUAUGACUAAAAGAAUAAAGAUAGUGUAAGAAUAACAGGAAUAACAUUACUACAAAUAACAAUAUAUUAAUAUUAAUAUGUUUCUUAAUAAAUUUUACACCCACUGUCUAUUUAUAAAUUAAUAUAUUAUAAACAUCUAUUGAUUUUUUGUGGGUAGCUUAUUUCUGUAACAUUUUAAAUUAAUUUUUUAGAUUUUACAAAACAUUACAUUUUGAUUAUAAUAUUUAGGACUGUGAUGCAAUUUCUGCAAUGAAGGCUGGCAGACUAAGUUUCUCCAAGCCCAAUUAAUACUGGGUUGAAAAUUCUGAGAAGAGGGUGAGUAUGAUGCUGCGGUCAUGAUCUAUGUAUUAAAGUGUUAAGGCAUGGGUUUGGUUGACAGGACAAUACUGGUUUUUCAUUGCUACUACUUAAUAUGAUUCUUUCUUACUGCUAUAUGAAUUUGCUGUCAAAUAGCAGUAAAUAAAAGACUUCAAAUAAAGCAUGUGUUUAUCAUACAUGGACUAAUGCAGCAGUUUUAGUAGAAGGGGCUAAUAUGAUUUUAAUCUAGAACAAGAUGGCUAAACCCAAAGAUGGUGGGAAUAAUAUCCUCAAAUCAAUUGUUUUGGUUUUCAGUGUAAUGUCAUUUGUAAGUAUCAAAAUUUGUUUGUUAUCACAUUGGAAGGUAGUAUCUGUCAUGAAAUUUGUGGAAGACCUUUACCUAUGUUUGCUUUGGGUCUGUUUUACGCCCUCUCGAAUUAAGUAAAUUUUUAAUUGCCAUCAUGAAAUUAGGCUAAAUAUGUGUAGUUUUGAGCACUUUCUUUCUUCCAUUUCAAUUCAUAGUUUCAUACAUAUUCAAUAUCAUGUGGGAAUUAAGUUCUUGCUUUUAAGGUGAAUAACAGUUUGUAUUCUUGCAGAAAACUAUUUUCUAAUGCAUAUAAAUUUCAUUUUCUAUUUUCAGCAUUGGAUUAUGUUAUGUAAUUUUUCCUUUGUAUUAUACAGAGUAGGAUUUUAAUGUUUCUACUGAACAGUGCUAUCUUUUUUCGUCCAUAUUCUGAUUUUGUUCAAUUUUUUUCAGUAUGUGCCACAUGCAGAUCAGAUGUAAGGAAUUUUCUAAAUUUUUUUUCAAGCUUUCUUGUUUGCUUAAAGUUUUCUGUAAGUAUUUAACUGUCUUAAGUUGUUAAUGAGGACUAAGGACUGAAAAAGAGAAUUAGCCAUGACAUGGUGGCAUUAUCCUUCUUCAAAACCAUUAGUUUUUUUUCCUACAAAGAUACAUGUCAAGAAAGCAAACCAGGAACAAAAGUGAUGUUUAUGAUUGCUUUCUCUCUUGUUUACUUGCUUUCUUUUUGUUGGACAAUUGUCUUAAUUGCAUUCACACCUAACCUGCAGUAGUUUCAGUCCCUUUGGGGUUGUCAUAAUUGCAGCCUCAAGAGUGGUGGUGUAGUCCAACAUCAACCAGUGAUAUAGUUCAAAUAUAGCAUAUACAUGAAAGUCGUGUUGAUAAUCAAAGGUUGCUUCAUCUUAACUAAUAACAUGUAAAUGUCAUUUGAAUGGUUAAAAAGGAAUUCACCAGUGUAACACAAAAUGAAUGGAUUGCUUGGUUAUGUGUCAACUGUUGUACUUUUUUUGAGUUGCUUGAAAAUAAUUAAAAUUUGUUUUCAUCUAGAUCUUGGUUUUUUCCUAUGAUCAAAUCUCGAUUUAUUUCUGUGCAGAACUUUCUUGUGGACAUAAAAGGACCAGCUAUAGCAUUUUUACCGGUGCUUGCAUUUGAAGGAGGAACUAGAAGAAAUAUACCUAGGUUUGAGGUGUGUAUAAAUUAUUUUUGAUGUAUUUCGUGAUGUAGAUGUAAAAUAAUGCAAUACUUUGUUUUUAGUUUCAAUGUUACUCUUUAUCUGCAGGUUGGAAACAUAUCUUGAUGAAAUAUAGAAACAUUUUUAUUCAUAAUAUAUAUAUAAGGAUUACACAUUCAUAAUUAUUUCUUUCUGUCGUAGCAUUGUCUACCUCAAAUCACUGCAACUUUCUGUUGUUGGUAUAAAAAUACAAUAUUUUAAUCCCAGUUUUGAUAGCCUCUAUUCUUCAGUGGUUGAGAUAUUUUUUAUAAGAAUUUAGAAGUUCUGAGAUAUUUAUGAUAAGAAUUUCAAGUUCUUUGUUACUAGCAGUUUAAUGGUUAUAUCAUUUUUGUUCUCUGGAAAAUAUCUUAUACAAAAUCGGUACUUAGAUUUGGUAUUUAUAUUGUUCAUAUGUAGAAAUCUAAUACUAGCAAAUUUUGUCUAAUUUAAAAGCAAUUACAUUCUACUCUUUGGAAUAUGUUCUGGCCUGCUUUUAUGAAUUAUUUGAAAAUUUGUAAUUAUAAAAUUUAGUCUUUGAAAUUAUAAAUUUAAUAGAGAAGCAUCCAUACUAAACUUUUAUAUUAUAAAUUGUCAGUUUUAUAUUGAAAACAUAUCCCCUUUAGUAUAAGACUUAAAGGAGAUGUCUUUUGGUAUAAAAACUGAAAUAAAAAAUAUUUUAACUAUAUGGGUCAAAUGGAUGAUUAAACUUAUAAAAUGUACAAUUAAACUUAUAAAUUAUAAUAAACGAUACUUUAAUUUUAAACUAUAUUGAACUUUUAUUAAUGUUCUCGCUUUUCUUUAAAAGCUAUUGAACUCUAUCUAACAAUAACUUAAAAAUGAGAAAUUCAUGAUAAAAUUUCAACACUUGUAAUCUAGAAGUAUUACGAUAAGCCAGAAGAGGAAGAGACUAGUUGACUGGGUAGCUUUCGGCGUUCCUCUUCCUAUCUUCCCCUGUUUCUCCUGAAGAGUGUGCAACAUUGCUUCCACUGAAUUCUUCAAUGUCAUUUUCUGAUGCAGAAUAGUCAACAGCACCACCAUAUUUAUCAUCUUUCUUUUUCGUAUAAAGAGGGCAUAUGCCGCAUUCUUUUAUUCUGAUACCUGAUUUCAACUCUCUCUCAACUGAUUCGUAAUCUGGCCGAUUUGGCCGCAGAAAGGGAUCAUACGGACUGAUCUCAAAAGUGAAGCUGCGAGCAUCACACAGCCUAAGGCUCAUGCCGCUCGCCAUUAGGGACUCCAAGUUAAAUUUCCACACGAAUGUCCCUUCACCAUCCCAUUUGAAAUAGCUAUUUAACACACCCUUAUAUGGAAUGAUCUGUGUGCCAUCAUCAUAUUCAAAUUUUAGGCUGUAACGAAAAGAACCAUAUCCACCUUUAAUAUCUAACACUCCAAAAGCUACACACAAAGCGAAACCAGUGAGCCUAUCAUCGCUGCAGAAACUUAAAUCUUCAUUUAUAGUCACUGAAUGUCCCUUCCCACGAAAAUUGAACCAACCAGGAACUGCACUCCCUGGAAAACAGAACAACACACACCUAUAUGUAUCGUCGAUCAUCCUAAGCCUUGCAUCCUCCUCGAUGUUAGCACGAGCACCUGAAUCCAGUUGUUGAGCAUUGGUGAAAUGAUAUUUGAAGACACCCUCUUUGGAAUUUGACAAGUUUGGAACAAGAGAAUUUGACAUCACUCUUCUAAUGGAUGGGCAAUCCAAUGCCUCGAGUUGUUCUAGAAAUGGUGGAAUCGGUGGAAUGCAUUCAAGCUUUUUGCAGUCGCUUAAAUCAAGUGAUUUCAGGCUUGAAAGAUGAGCAAUGCUCUCAGGAAGGUUCACGAUUCCGCUAUCACGCAGUGACAGUUCCAUUAAUGACGUCAAGCGACCGAUGUGUCUUGGGAUUUCUGUUAAUUUGGCACACCCCGAACAAUCAAGUUUAGAGAGAAGCUUCAUAUUAACAAUGGAGUUUGGAAGUGACUCGAGAUAAGUGCACUCUUGGAGUUCCAGGGAUCGAAGAUUAACCAAAUUGCCAAAUGAGGAAGGCAGUUCUUUAACAGCCGUACAUGUCAAGUCAAUAUGAGCAAAAGUAUGAGCCGGCUUCAUGAUCUCUGGGAAGGUCCUCAGCCUUGAGCAACCACCCAAAUCAAGCUUCCUCAAUUUCAAAUUGAAAAUGGUGCUUGGAAAAGUUUGAAGUGAAUUACAGUAGGUAAGGUGUAACUUGCAUAGUCUGGUGAGGCUUCCAAUGGAAGAUGGAAUAAUCUCAAGAUUCAAGCAACUGUGCGAACUCAGUUGUUGAAGCCCUACCAAACGGCACAAGGAUGAAAACUUAUUUUAUUUUUGCUGUUCAUGCAUAACAUUAACAAAUAUUGACAUGAGAGAUUGUGUUUGUAGGCUUCUAAGCUCACCAACGUGUCCCGUUCUUGAUGCUUUAGGGAAGAAAAUUUCCUUUGAGAUUGCAAAAGGACUCAGGAGAAUUUAGAAGUUCUGAGAUAUUUAUGAUAAGAAUUCAAGUUCUUUGUUACUAGCAGUUUAAUGGUUAUAUCAUUUUUGUUCUCUGGAAAAUAUCUGAUACAAAAUUGGUACUUAGAUUUGGUAUUUAUAUUGUUCAUAUGUAGAAAUCUAAUACUAUAGCAAAUUUUAUCUAAUUUAGAAGCAAUUAUAUUCUACUCUUUGGAAUAUGUUCUGGCCUGCUUUUAUGAUUGUAAUUAUAAAUUUAAUAGAGGAGAUUACCAAACAUCCAUACUAAUUAAACUUUUAUAUUAUAAAUUUUUUCAGUUUUAUAUUGAAAACAUAUCCCUUUAGUAUAAGACUUAAAGGAGAUGUCUUUUGGUAUAAAAACUGAAAUAAAAAAUCUUUUAACUAUAUGGGUCAAAUGGAUGAUUAAACUUAUAAAUGUACAAUUAAACUUAUAAAUUGUAAUAAACGAUACUUUAAUUUUAAACUCUAUUGAACUUUUUUUAAUGUUCUCGCUUUUCUUUUAAAUGCAUUUCACUUGUGUGUUUUGUAUUCAGGCUGAUUUUAACUUUAUUCUCAAAUAUACAAAAUAAUUUUUGGUAAUUAUCUUGUGUCGAUCUUGACUUGUAGUAUCAAUGUGAAAUAUGUAAUAAUUACUUUUCUAUGAUUCAGAGGGAAAAUUAUUCCAACUAGACUUUUACAAAUAUAUUUCAAGUGGUAAUAUGAUUUUAAAAAAAAUAGGAUUCGCCACAAAAAAAAGUUACUGUUCCUAAUUGACAUGGUGCUGUCAAAAUUAUUUAAUUACAAUUUAGAUCUUCACUCUACAUAUAAUUAAUUAAUUACCAAUUAUUUAAAAGACUAGUAAAUUAUAAUUUUAAUCUCUCUACAACUUUCUAAAUUUAGUUAUGAUUCUCUCAAAAAAAUUUCCCUUAAAUAUUAAUUAUAAUUACCUUUAGACAGAAACAUUUCUAAUUUAAACAAGCAAAAAUAAGAAAAAAAAAUAGAUUACAAAAACUAAAUUUGAAUUUUUUUAUAUAACUCCAAAUAUAUUUUAUCCAUAAAUAAAUUCUAUUAAUAUUUCAUUUCUGUUUAAAUAGUUUAUUCAUAUUUGUAAUAUUAUUUUCAAAAAACAAUAAUUGUUUUUUGAAUAAAGGUUUACAAAUUCUAUAAUAAUGUAAAUGAGAAGAGGAGUGAGGGUAAAAAUAUGAGAACCUAUGUGAGGGAAUCUUGUGACAAUUUAGCUGGUGUUCAACUUGUGAGAAGUCUUUCAACUUGGUUUUCAAGUUUUAUAUUCAAUUUCUGUUCCUUCAAAUGUUUCUGAUUUUACAGCUCCUCAGGAUUUUACAGCUCCAUGCACAAACCUAAUACAAUGAUAUGAUAUUCAAUCAGCAUUAAUUAGCAUAAACAGGUACCUUGUUGUAAAACUGGGAAUAUGAGAUUCCAUAGGAUGGAGAAAAGUAUGAAGAGGAAUUACCAAUCACCAUUUACCAAUCAUAAUGCCUUCACUACAAAUGCAACCCAAAUAUGCUAAAGAAGUUAAUGAAACUAUAUAUGAAGAGUUUCAAGAAGAUGCAACUCUGGGACAACAGAGCAACCCAUCUCAUGCUGAACACAAACAUCAAACUACAUCUAACAAUAAUUCAGAAAUCUUAAUCAACAAUUGAGCGAACCCACUCCUAAAAUGCCAUUGAGAAUGUAAAUAAAUCAAAAUACAUUAAAAACGAGAAAUUCUUAAUAAAAAUUCAACGUGUUGAACCUUGUAAUUUAGAAGUAUUAACGAGAAGCCAGUUUAGAUCCUCACCAAUGAAAGACUAUUUUACAGGUUAGCUUCCACUGGAUUCUUCAAUGUGAACAGCACCACCAUAUUUAUCAUCUUUCUUUUUGGAAUAAAGAGGGCAUAUGCCGCAUUCUUUUAUUGUCACAACUGACCACCCAAAGUCAUAAAGAGGACUGAUCUCAAAAGUGAAGCUGCGAGCAUCACACAGCCUAGGGCUUAGGGAUUCUAAGUUAAAUUUCCAGACGAAUGUGUGAUCUUUAUCAACAAAACUGUAUUCACCAUUCCAUUUGAAAUGUCUGUUUAACCUAUCAUUAUUUGGAAUGAUAUGUGUGCCAUCAUCAUCAGAUUCAAAUUUUAGGCUGUAACCAAAAGAACCAUAUCUACCUUUAACAGAAUUCGUAUCUAACACUCCAAAAACCACACACAAAGCGAAACCAGUGAGCCUAUCAUCGCUGCAGAAACUUAAAUCUUCAUUUAUAGUCACUGAAUGUCCCUUCCCACGAAAAUGGAACCAACCAGGAACUGUACUCCCUGGAAAACAGAAGAACACAGACCUAUAUCUAUCAUCGGUCAUCCUAAGCCUUGCAUCCUCCUCAAUGUUAGCACGACCACCUGAAUCCAGUUGUUGAGCAUUGGUGAAACGAAAUUUGAAGACACCCUCUUUGGAAUUUGACAAGUUUUGAACAAGAGAAUUUGGCAUCACUCUUCUAAUGGAUGGGCAAUCCAAUGCCACGAGUUGUUUUAGAAAUGGUGGAAUCUGUGGGAUGCAUUCAAGCUUUUUGCAGUCGCUUAAAUCAAGCGAUUUCAAGCUUGAAAGAUGAGCAAUGCUCUCAGGAAGGUUCACGAUUCCGCUAUCACGCAGUGACAGUUUCACUAAUGACGUCAAGCGACCGAUGUGUCUUGGGAUUUUUGUUAAUUUGGCACACCCCGAACAAUCAAGUUUAGAGAGUAGCUUCAGACUAACAAUGGAGUUUGGAAGUGACUCGAGAUCAGUGCAUUUGCGGAGCUCCAGGGAUCGAAGAUUAACGAAAUUGGCAAAUGAGGAAGGCAGUACUUUAACAGCCGUAUAUGAUAAGUCAAUGCGAGCAAAAGUAGGAGCCCGCUCCGUGAUAUCUGGGAAGGUACUCAGGCUUGAGCAACCACACAAAUCAAGCUUGCUCAAUUUCAAAUUGAAAAUGCUGCUUGGAAAAGUCUGAAGUGAAUUACAGCGGGUGAGGUGUAACUUGCAUAGUCUGGUGAGGCUUCCAAUGGAAGAUGGAAUAAUCUGAAGAUUGAAGCAACUGCGCAAACUCAGUUCUUCAAGCCCUAUCAAACGGCACAAGGAUGAAGGUAGUGCCUGUAUGGCUGUGGCGUCUAAGAUGAGCACCGCUAGAUCUUCCAACGUGUCCUGAAUCUCGGGUAAAUUUUCCAAUUUUGAGCAACCACGGAGAGAAAGUUGAUUUAUGAAUUUCAUAUCAGAAAGGUCAAUUGGAAAGAUUGUAAGAGAAGAACAGUGAGAGAGAUCUAUGUGAGAGAGCUUCUUGCCACUAAAUUGUAAGGGCACACCUUCGUAGUCUUCUGAGUAUUCUGAGUCUGUAGCAUUAUUAGCAUUUAUCUCUUUCAUCAUAUCCGGUUCCUGACGCUCCAGUAUGACAUGAGGGAGAAAUUUAUCUUCAUGUUCACCCAAUGAAAACAUAUUAAGCUUCUCACAACCGGAAACACUAAUCCAUCCUGGUGAUGUGGAUAAAAUGUUGCUGGGAAUAUUUACACUUUUGAGAUUAGAACAAUGAUCUAAACAUAAACAACUGAGCUUGGUGAGGAAUAUCGAAGAGUGAACUUCAAUCAACUUUGAACAAUAACUCAGCUUUAUUUCUUCAAUAUUCGGUGACAGAGAAAGGUCUGGUAUUCUAGUAAGUUCCCAAGAUUUAACCAGGUCGAGCCUUUUCAAGUUGGGUAAAUUCUGCCAGAAAUAGUAAAUGAAUGAGGUAACAAAUAAAAACUACUUUAUCUAUUUUUCUUCCUAUUUAAACUAUUAGCUACUAUCUAUUGAGUUUAUAUUUUACAUUACUUAAAAACCACUGUUAAAAAAACCACACUGUGGACUAACAAAACUCUGCCUAUAAAUUUUAUAGUUAUUAUAAAAAAUCACAAAAUUUAACGUCUUUUUGUUCCCUACCUAAAAUUACAUCCUAAUCAUUUGAACCUAAACUUAUUAUGUAUUCAAAAACUUAUGAUAGUAAUUUAUAAUCGAUCACAAUGUCAAAAUACUUUAUAUUAUACAUGUAUCAACUCACAAAAUAAAUGGUGUUGUCUCAGAUUUAAAAUUAAACCUUAGUUAAAAAGUCCAUCUUUCCAUAAUUUAUUUUAUUAAAUACAUAAUUUGUAAUUUAUUGUAUAUUAUAUUCAAGUUUAUGUUAUGAUAAAAAAAGUAUCUAAGGCAUUUUUAAUUAAAUAAUAUAAAAUAAACAACAUGAACUCAAUUAAAUAAUAUAAAUUUUUUUGAAUACUCGAUGGAAUAAAAAAAUUAAUAAAACCCUCAAUUUGAAAAUAACCAAAUUUAUAAGAUACUUAAAACUUAAUUAAACCUACAAAUUUUCAUUAUAUGGAAUUAAAUAUUGUAAAGAUUUACCACAUAAGUUUCAUAAGUAGAAGGUUUAAACAUAAAAUUCUUCACGUUGGGAGUUUCUUUCCUCUAUCUUAUAAGUUUUCGUUGUUUCUUUAAUAUUUUUUAUAUGGCUUCUGUCAAUGUAAUUUUUUUUUUGGUUUUAAAAUAUUAUUAAAGAUAAAAUAUGAAGACAGGGUAAUUAAAUUAAAUAUAAUUUUUAUUUUUCAGAAAUGAUGAAAAUUAUAAUUAAAUUAACUAAAUUAUAUAAAAUUCCAUUUUAUUUACAUAACUCAUUUUCAUAUUAAAAAACUAUAUAAGAUCUUCCAAAGUAGAUAUAAUACAUUCACGGGCCAUUAGAUGAUAUGCCUAAAAAAAUAUGCAAACUAUUAAAUUUAUAAUUAUCUUUAAUUAGAAACAUGCUGAGUAUGACUCAAAUAAAAGAAAUUUCAAAUCGAAUAAUGUCGAGAAGGCACAAAGGAAUUGCAAAUGAAAACUUGUAUAUGUAUAAUACAGAAAACAUGCUUGUAUAAUUUAUUUUUAUCUUUGAAAGUUUAGAACACAAAGGAACAUAGAUAGCUUGAAAAACCUGAUCUCCUUCCCAGAGUUGUUCAAGAUGGCAGAAUGGCAUUUCGAGGGUCACUAGAUUUUGUGGGCAAAAGUUUGGAGGCCAAAAUCUUUGAGGGAAAUGUGUCCAAUAAAGAAUCUUUAGAGUGUCUGGCAUAUCCACAAGAGGUGAUUCAAAAGACACUUUUAAUUCCAAUCCCCACGUGUAGAGCCUAAGCACCCUAAGAUUGUUCAUCUUUUCGAAACUUUGUGCAUGUACUACAACUUCUUUUACUUUGAAAGUAGAUAGUGAUAUACACUCUAUUGAAGUAGAUAGUGAUAUACACUCUAUUGCAUCUGACCCCUGAAAGUAAAUCAUGAAAUGUUGCAUUGCAGGAUGUUUGAUGACAGCUCAGUGGUUUGCAAUUUUUCACAAAGUAAAUCCAUUCUCAAUUGAGUAACGACAUAAUACCUUGUUCUUUCUUAAAACCUCUCAAAUUUCCUCAGCAUUAAACAAUCGGCUGCGUUUUCCAGGAUGCUGAGGACACUCUUUACGAACAAUUUCUUUACCCAUUUCUUGUAUUAGAUCGUGCAUCACAAUUCUACCAUGAAAGACAGAUAUUAGGCCCCUAUCUUUGAGAAUAUCCAUUCCAAUCUUGGAAGAGAAACCACAGUCAGCAAGUAUUUCUGCUACCACAAUCUCUUGUGACCUAUAUAAAAGCAAGCUAUGUCAAGAAAUAUAUUCUUCUCCUCCUCCUCGAGCCCAUCAUAACUUAAUUUUAAUACAUUGAAAAUACCAAGAUGUUGGCCCUUUUCCAACUUUUGCAACUGACUCUCCCAUGCUUCUCUUGUUCUUCCAUAAAGCAAUGACCCCAAAAUCUGGAGAGCUAAUGGAAUCCCUUUUGCAUAUCUCAACACCUUUUCUGACAGUUCCCUGUAAGCAAUUUCUUCUGAAGAUUUUUGUUUAAAAGCAAGUAAACUAAAAAGUUUCUGAGAAUCAUCAAAAUUCAACUCCUUAACUUCGUAGAUAUCAUCAGCUCUAGCAUUCUUAAGCACUUGUUUGUCUCUACUGGUGAUAAUGAUUCUACUGCCCUGCCCAAAACUAUCACUCCCUCUUAUUAAUUUUUGAAGUUGAGCUGAAUCGGUAACAUCAGUUAGAAGUGGAACACGUUUGUAGAAGUGGAACACGUUAGUUGGUUAGUUGCCUUAAGAAGCGGAUCAUGUAUUUUUUCUUGAACGUCUAAAACAAGGCUGCUGGAAUCAAACUGCAAUUCCAAUUUGUGAUAUAUUUGAUCACAAAUUGUAGUUUUUCCUAUUCCUCCCAUGCCACAAAUGCCUAUGAUCCGAACAUCCGGUAAGUCAAGAUGCAACAAGGACUGAAUUCCUUCAAUAUUUUUUUCAAUGCCGAUGAUUCCUUGAUCAUAACUGAUGGAAUAACGAUUCAAUUUUCUCAAAAUAUCUCCCACAAUUCCUUCAACAAGUGUGUGUUCUGACCUGGCAGAUGAUUUAGAAAAUAAAGUAUAAGUAUUCAUGCACAAAAGCUAAAACAAAACUAAAGAAAAAUUCAGAGUCAAGAAGAGUGAACAUCAUUGAAUAGAUUCACAUAUUGAUUGUAGGACGUUAUCUUCGAAUAUUAGUGUGGUUGGUUUAGAAAUUGCAAAUCAAGAUCGCAGAAAUUCUACAGUAACCGGUAGUGACUUCUGAUACUAGGAAGCAGUCUUGUAGGUACAAAGUUAAGCUAUAAGAUGUGAUAUGGUUCAGAUCUAUGACCCACUACGAAAAAUGGAAAAAAGAAACACUUGAUUUAUGGUGAGAUGAACACAAUUUUAGUAAAUGAAAAGAGAUCCUGAUUAUCUAAUAAAUAUAAUGACCUGGUGACUUUUGAAUCCCAGCCUGAAAGUCCAGCAGCUUCGGUGAGAGCAUCCUUCCAUCCUUGCACUUUGUCGUGCUUAAAGUGCUGCUCAUGCUCAUCGAAUGCUUCUUUGUAUCUUUCUUCCUGCUUCCUAAUAGUUGACGGAUCCACCUUGUAGAAAACAGGUAUGACAUCCCUUCCAUAUCUCUUCUUGCAAUCAAGUAUCUUAGUGAGUUCAUUCAAGCACCAAGUGGAAGAUGCAUAGUUUUGGGAGAAAACGACGAUAUAAAUCUUCGAUUCUUCUAUUGCAGAGAGCAGUGCAGAUGAAAUUUCUUCGCCCCGGGGUAGUGUCUCAUCAAUAUAUGCUUCUAUGUUCUUCCUUUGCAGUGCUGGAUGAAGGUGGCUAAUGAAGUUGUCACGUGUGUCUUCCCCUCUGAAGCUGAGAAACACAUCAUGCUUUGUUAGAGAAGUGGACACGGGGAAUGAUGAAGAACUUCCUGUUUAAUUUCUUCGCCCCUGUUUAAUCUGUAAUCAAUAUAUGCUUCAAUGUUCUUCCUCUGCAGCGCUGCAUAAAGGUGACUAAUGAAGUUGUCACGUGUGUCUUCCCCUCUGAAGCUGAGAAACACAUCAUGCUUGGUUAGAGAAGCAGACAUGGCCAAUGAUGAAGGGUUUCAAUUUUCUCUGCAACUCUCAGAUCCCUUUGUUUGUAAGCAACUUGCAUAUAUUCUAUUUCUAUCACAAAUCAACUUUUGGAAAAGCCUUCAAUUCAAAAUAUGCUUCACAGCUUUAUAUUAACGUGCCUAGCUUUAUACCAUUCUUACGCAUUGGUAAAGAUUCUUCAAUAUCUUUACUCAAUUUGUUUCUUCAAUACCUUUUACACAUUCUUACGCAUUGGUAAAGAUUCUUCAAUAUCUUUACUCAAUUUGUUUCUUCAAUACCUUUUACAUAUAAAGAAUCGGAUUUGUUUAAUAUAUUUUAGAAAAUAACCAGUAAACAGAAAACUAGGUUAAUAUGACUAAAUGAAUAAAGAUAGUACUCAUAAAAAAUAUUUUAGAUUACAAGUGGUAUAACUAAAAUAAAAUAUUUUAUUUUUAAAAUAAAAUUUAUAAAUAAAUAAAAAAAUAUAAUUGUUUAGUUUUCGGUGUAAAACAAUAUUCAUUUUUAUAAAAAAAAAUCUUUUCUCUUUUAUUUUAUUUUUAUAUUUCUAAUUAGAGUAUUCUUGAGUUUGACAAUAGAAUCCUUUCUUUGGACUUUUGGAAUUAAAUAAAGAUGUUAAUUGAAAAAAAAAAUUGAAAUAGAAACUAAUUUAGAAACCAAAUUUCUUUUUAGUUUCUAAAAUGGUCUCUAAUUUAGUUACUAUUGCAACUAAUUGUUUUGGUUUCUAGAAAUUGGUUUCUAUUUCAUGAUUUUCUUGUAGUGUAUACUGAAGGUGUGCACCCCUAUGAAAUGUUUUUAUUUCUAGUUGAUGUGUGAUUUCCAAUAAUUAUAUAAAUUGAUUGUUAUAUGCAGUGUGAAGUUUAACCUUGAUUUUUACUUGAAAAAAUGGAUUUUAAUAUGAGGUAUGCAUGCUCUCAUACUCAAAUUCAAUAAGCGGAAUUUUCACAUGUCAAUAGAAUUUGAACCUGCAUAGUUUUGGGCACUCUCCACCUCAAAUUCGCUCAAUGUUUUUUCCUGCGUUUAAGCGAAAUUACAUGCAGAUUUUGGAGUACUUUCGGGCUUAAAAUUGCUCAAAGAAAUUUCCCUAUGGCAAGCAAAUUUAAGCUACAAUUGUUUGGGUGUUCUUUGCCUCAAAUUCGUUGCCUCAAAUUCGUUCAGCGAAGAUUUCUCUGGGCUUAAGCCCCAACUUCAUGGGCUCGAGCCAUUUUGACAACAUUUGUCAUCUUUGCUUAGAUAUCUUUUGGUUUGUUUUCUAUAGGUCAUGAAAUUGAAUUAAAUCUUUUGAAAUUUAACAUGUGUUUAAAAUAAGUAAAUCUAACAUUUAUAAUCAUGCAACAUGUGUUUAAUUUAUAAAAAAAAUAUAAAACAAAUACUCAUUAUAUAUUCAAUUGAUAUGUAAAAUUUUAAAUAUUAUGUGAUUAUUGUUGAUAUUUUGUAACGGUUUUAAAAAUAUAAACUUCUAUAUGAUUGAAUGAUAUAUUAUCGAUACAUAGUAAUUUCAAGUAAGGAAAUACUUUGUUAAGGAUAGUUAGGAUGUGUCUUGAUUAGUAAUACAUUUAGAAUAAGAUAUUUGACUCUAUUCACAUAUUAAGGUGGUGACAGUCAAAUGAGAUUUAUAUGAUUUGAUCUACAAUAUAAAAAAUCAUAAUCUAACAUGCCAUAUGAAUUAACCUUGUCAUAUUAGGUGAUUCUAUUAUGAUAUUCUUAUUCGCAUAGAUGUGUGAAUUUCACAAUGGGGUAUUAUAACAUGUGCAAAUUUUUUAGUCUAAAUCAAUGUACGAUUCUUUCAGAAAUAGGGUCAAGUGUACAUGUGGAUCUAAUUAGAUUUUUGACAUGAGUAAUAUGGAACACAAGUCAUUUAGAGACACUUAAUUGUUUAAUAUAUUAGGAAUGAAUGAAGUGUGAUUAUUCAUAUGAUUAUGAUUGAAUGAUUCAAAUAUAAAUUUUAAAAAUCAUUAACUUAGCCUAAUUUCUUGUUAGUAUCAUUUUUUUGUUAGUAUCGUUUUUUUUUUAGAUUUGUUAUGAUCGUGAGUUACAUGUGAACAUAUGAUGUUGUAUGUUAUAGGCCUCAAAAUUGAAAAUGAGAGAGUUUUUUCUUUUAAUUCUUUUGAUGUUUUAUUUUGAUGUAUAUAUUUGAUUAUGAUAUAAUAAUAUUACAAUGUAAAUGUUAUUUAUAUACUAUCACAUGGUAAAUUAAAAUUUAAUAAGGUAGUUAAGGAUGUUAUAAUUAUUCUUUUAAUUUAUUUUAUUUCACUGUAUAUUUAGGUGUAUUACGUAAAAUGUAUAGUUAAAAAAAAUAAUGUUAUUUUGAAAUUUAAGCUUUUGUUAAAAUUAUACCAUUUGAAAAGGAACACAGAACAAUCUUGACAAUUAUACUGACUUAGUACUUAUUUUAAUUUAUUAUAUUCAUGAGUAUUAUUUUUUUCUUAAACAUAAAUAUUGGAUAAAAAAUAUAAAUAACAUUUAUUUAUUUCAAAUUUAAAAAUCUUUAAAAUAAAUAUAAAUAAUAUUUUUAAUCAAGAUGUGUUUUUUAACAAUUUUUUUUAAUUUAAAAAUAAUUAAUUCGGACGAUGAUUAAAGAAAUAUUAACAAAUUAUUUCUGCGAUUAUAAUAAACCUUCAAUAAUUUUUGCACUUUCUAGCAUAUAGAAUAUGGAUCCUUUUGUGAUUUUUCUUUUCUAAAGUACAAUUGAUAUUUUAAAUGUUUUUCUAUUUAAUUUUCCUUUCUUAAUGCACAUAAAAAUUUCAGUGCACAAUUAUUACUCACCUUAAUUCAAAAUGGAAAUUAAAAUUCAAGAACCCUACUUAUAUAUUAAUAUUCAACGAUUUAAAAUAUUAGUAUGCAAAUUAAUCUUUCUUAAUAAUAUUUGUAACAAUUUUUAAUAAUUCAAUGUGAAAUAUGUAAUAAUUACUUUUCUAUGAUUCAGAGGGAAAAUUAUUCCAACUAGACUUUUACAAAUAUAUUUCAAGUGGUAAUAUGAUUUUAAACAAAAAUAGUAUUCUCCACAAAAAUAAAUAGUUACUGUUCCUAAUUAAACAAGUCACAUUCUUGAACAAAAUAUCAAAUAACAAGGAAUUAGACUAUGAAAUGAUGACCAAUUAUAUUAAACAACAUAACAUACAUUUCUCAAUGUACACAAGGUAUAAAUAAUACAAUAUCAUCCAAAACCUGUGUUCACUAUGUAAAUAAACCAUUUUUUUUGCCAUUACCUCUUUCAUGAUGAUGAUUUGUUUACUAGGGAUUGCAAUGAUAGGUCAUGAUCAAAACUUAGGCCUAAGACUAAAAAUAGAAUGAAAUGAGCAUGAAAAUAAAGAUAACUUUUGAGUGAGACACAUUCUUCCUUACAAGCAGCAAGUUCUUCCAGGUUAUCUUCUCUUCCUUCAACCGUAGCUGUGCAACCGCCUGUUGUUCAUUGCCACCAAUAUCUCUAGUGCCAAAACUAUGUUUUCCAAAAUUAGAGUUAUAUGGCUUUAUCUGUGAAGUCUUACCAGCCAUAAUGUUUUAUUUUACUGUUUUGUUGUAAUCAUGCCAAUAGAUAAAUCGUGGAUUUGUAAACCACGAAACACCAUUGAGUAUGCAAAUGGGUUGAAUGUGUUUUUGGAUAUUGCAUUUCAACAUGCUAAUGGUCCUGUAAUUAAGUGUCCAUGUGCAAAGUGUGGUUUCAAAAAGUGACAAACAAGGGAUGUAAUCCAAGAACACUUAACAUUUACAACUUUCCCUCAGAACUACAAAACUUGGUAUUUGCACGGUGAAAGACCAAGUGUAAUUGAGCCUAUGGUCACUACAAGUGUGCAUGUCAUUGAAGAUUUAUUUGAAUCUCAAAAUACAAUGGAAGACAUGUUGAAUGAUGCAUUCGAGUUUGCGGGACAUGAUGAGGAUACUGAAGUUGAUGGUUUGCAAACUAAUAUGGUGGGUGAUGAAGGAAUAUGAACUUUGAUGAAUUGAUGAGGGACAAUAAUGAACCCUUAUAUGAAGGUUGUACAAAGCAUUCGAAGUUAUCAUUCAUGUUGAAGUUGUACCAUAUCAAAUGCAUGAGUAGAAUGAGUGACAAAGCAAUGACCAUGAUUCUAGACUUGCUAAUGAACACAUUUGAACAUGCUAAGUUUCCUAACUUGUUUUAUGAGGCGAAGACUGUGAUUACCAAACUUGGACUUAAUUAUGUCAAAAUACCAGCUUGCCCAAAAGACUGAAUGCUAUAUUGGGGCGAAGACAAUGAAGGCUUAGAAGAAUGUAAACGGUUCAAAACGUCUAAGUGCAAAAAAAAAAAAAGAUAAGAAGCAAUUGCAUUACUUUCCAUUAAAACUGUGAUUGCAAAGAUUGUUUAUGAGUUCUAAGAUGAUUGAGUCUAUGACAAGGCAUGCAUCAAAGGAUAAUCAAGAUGGAUUGAUGAGGCAUCCUAGAGAUUCUGAGGCUUGCAAAUCAUUUUAUUGCAUCCAGAAUUUGUAAAUGACCAUUGAAAUGUACGAUUAGACUUAGCUGCUUAUGGCUUUAAUCCUUAUGAAAACAUGAGUAAAAACCAUAGUAUAUGACGAGUGGUUAUCAUCCCAACAAUCACCCUCCUUGGGAGUUAUGAAGCAAACAUCUUUUAUCCUCUACAUGAUAAUUUCUGGAAAACAAAUGGUAGAAAAUGACAUUGAUGUUUAUUUAAAACCACUUAUAAGCAAAUUGAAGGAGUUAAUAGUAUGAUCAUGUAAUUAUUAUUUAUAUACUAAAUAUUACGACAUAUAGUAAUUUAAAAUUUGAUAAGGUAGAUGAGGAUAUUAAAAUAUCUCUUUUAAUUUAUUUUAUUUUAUUGUAUAUUUAGGUGUAUUAUGUAAAAUAUAUAAUUAAAAAAAAUAAUGUUAUUUUAAAAUUUAAAGAAUCACGUAUAGAAAGAAACAUAUAACAAUCUUGACAAUUAUAUUCUGACUUAGAGAUACUUAUCUUAAUUUAUUAUAUUCAUGAGUAUUAUUUUUUUCUUAAACAUAGAUAUUGGAUAAAAAAUAUUAAUAAUAUUUAUUAUUUAAAUUUUAGAAAUAUUUAAAAUUAAAAUUAAAAUUAAAUAAUAUUUUUAAUUAAAAUAUGAAAAAAAUUCCUUAACAAUUUUUUUAAUUUCAAAAUAAUUAAUUCAGAGGAUGAUUGAAAAAAUAUUAACAAAUCAUUUCUGCGUUUAUAAUAAACCUUCAAUAAUAUUUGUACUUUCUAUCAUAUAGAAUACUUAAUGGAUCCUUUUGUGAUUUUUCUUUUCUAAAGUACAGUUGAUAUUUUAAAUGUUUUUCUAUUUAAUUUUCAUUUCUCAAUGACAAAUAAAAUGGUUCAGUGCACAAUUAAUUAUUCUCACCUUAGAUUUCAUUCAUCUCAUUCCAUUUCCACACUCAAAUCAUUCUCACAUUUUUUUCUACCUAUUUCACAAAGUUUUUGUUAAAAUAUGGAAAUUAAAGUUCAAGAACCCUACUUAUAUUUCAUAUUCAACAAUUUAAAAUAUUAAUAUGCAAAUUAAUAUUUCUUAAUAAUGUUAUUUUUAUGUAAAAAUUAAAAUGUAGUUUAGUCAUUCAUACUUAGAUGGAUAAAAAUGGUUUUAGAAAGAAAAAAAUAUGCAUUUUUUUGAAAGGUUAUCUAAACUCUAAACUCAUUGAUGAAUUAAUAAUAAUAAAUAAUAUGGAAUUCUAUACGAAUAGCAUAUAAAUGUUUUCUUGUUGAAACUGAUAAUUAAUUCAGUCUAGGGACAAUUAUCGCGGUAUUUGUUCUUUUAUUUUUAAUGUUUAAACAAUUAUAAAAUUCUGUUUUUAGAUAUUAAAAUGAUAGUUUUCAUUUACAGAUUAAAAUAUUACUUGUUUCUUUUAAGAUUUUUUGUAUUAUAAUUAUUUGUUGUCUGAAUUGUUUUGAUUUAACAUGUUGUUUUCUUGGGCUAUGAUAUUGUGAGGUUUUAUUACAUGCAGGUACGUGAAUAUUUUUUUUAUCCUAGUUGUAUAAAUCAGGAAAAUUGUUUUUCACAUUAUAAUAACCGUUUAACAACUCUAAAUAAUAAUAAAAUAUUAACUCAUAUUGUUUAAUUAAAGUAUAAAUUAAAUUAUUAAAUAAAAAAGUAGUAAAACUGGUUGCAGGAUGGGAAUAUGAUUAUUUUUAACUGCUAGCUCCUGAUUAUUCUUUUCUAAUAAAAAAAACACCAAUAGCAACAAAACAAGUUUUGACACACGUAGGUUUGGCAAUUGUUUUAAUAGCUGAAAAUAGUACAACAAUUUUUAAUUACCACAAACUGCAUCUUAAAUCAUAAAAAAUUAGCAUUUUGUUAGUUCAUAUAUAAUAAAAUUUCCAUAAAACAGCCAAUUGUAUUAAUUAUUAAUAAUGUAUUUACAAUUUUUUUAGAUAAUUUUUUUACUAUAAAGACAUUUAUUUGAGAUUGAAAUUGUAAUUAACACUUUUUGGUCAAAGAAUAAUAUAUUUCACUUGAUUUUUUGUAUUAAAUAUUUUGUAUAGCGCUGAGACAAAAAAAAAUCUCAUAUAAAUCCCUAUGUGCUACAAGUACAAUAUAACAUCCUUAAUGUAAGCAAUAAAAAUGAUGAAUACUCAAAGUCGUGUAAUUACGCAAAAGAAUCAAGUGAUUUUUAAAAGAACUCACAUGAUCAGUUUAAAUUUUGACGAUAAAAUACAUUAAUUAUAUAUAUUUAUUCAAAAUUUCAAUUAUAUUAUGCAUUAAUGGUUUUAUGCUUUUAGAGGAAUCAGAGAAACUUAGAAAAGCUCCUAAAAACUAAUGUAACCCUAUGAAUAGAAGAGAGCUAAAAGAAAGAGAAAAUGGAAGUGAGAAAAGAUGAUAAUUAAUAAACACGCUCUCUUCAUAACAUAGAGUCUUUAAACCUAUAUUCCCUCAAACAAUUAUAAAGAAUUAACAAUCACACUUUUAUAAGUCAUCACCCACAUGAAACAAAACAAGGUGCCUCAAUAUGAAUAAACCAAGAUUAAUAAGAAAUAUGAGGUUUCACUAACCAAGCUCAGAAUUUUCUGCUUUUAUAGCUCCAUGCACAAACCUAAUACAAUGAUAUGAUAUUCACUGCAAAUGCAACCCAAAUAUGCUAAAGAAGUUAAUGAAACCCAAAUAUAAAGAAUUUGAAGAGAAUGCAACUCUGGGACAACAGAGCACACCAUCUCAUGCUGAACAGAAACAUCAAACUAUAUCUAACAAUAACUAUACCUAUGUUUGCUUUGGGUCUGUUUUUAGUUUCAAUGUUACUCUUUAUCUGCAGGUUGGGAACAUAUCUUGAUGAAAUAUAGAAACAUUUUUAUUCAUAAUAUAUAUAAGGAUUACACAUUCAUAAUUAUUUCUUUCUGUCGUAGCAUUGUCUACCUCAAAUCACUGCAACUUUCUGUUGUUGGUAUUUGCAUAUCACGAUGGUUAUUGAGAAAUUUAGGAGUUUGCUGUUGUGUACCAGAAGUAAAAUAGAAGGUUCAUUUUUUGGUCAUCAUCAAUUAUUAAUGUAAAUAGAUAUAGGUGAAGGAGAUCAGUAUUAUGCAUUGUAUCAUGGACCAUUAGAAGACUAGGGUCACCAAUUGGAGGCAUUGGUAACUUUGGCUAGUAAAACUAAAACCAAAGUCCAUUUUUACAAAGCCUUGGUCUAAUUCACCUUAUAGCUGUACUUUUUCCUCCAUUUUAAUAAUAUUAAGUUUUCAUUUUCUAUGCAUAAUCUUGGGUAAUUUUCUUUUUAUAUCAAUGCUUGAAGUGUCAAAUUGUUACAAGCUGGAUUAUUAAGAAAGAAAAGAGUGCAUUCUGGAUGCUCGAAAGGGAGUGUUUCCUAGAAAAAAAAUGUGAUUUCAGGGUGUCCAGGCUCAGGUAGCAAUGGUAGGAGUUCCACAUUGAAAUGGAUGAACUACUUGAUUUAGUACUUUGGGACUCUCUCACCUAAUGGACUAGUAUUUUGGGUUAGCUUCUCUCCCCUUAAUGCUUAAGUCCUAAAAAACAGUUUUUCUGUUUCUAUUUAUCUUUUAGGGUGUGAUUAGGACCAUGAAGCAGUGGGUGUUUUUUCCAUUAAUGAACUUUGCCACUGCCACAGAUCACCUAGGUUAACCUAAUUAAGUCUUCUGAAUUGUAUUUUGUAAUUAAUUCUUGUAAAACAUGGAGUGUAAAAUUCAUGUACAUUUUUCUUUUCCUCUUUUGAUUUGGAUGUCAAACUAGCAACUUCAUGUUUUGUCUGGUUGGUCUAUCACAUUUAUGUAGGUUGUAAUCUAUUUUGCCUAAUGCAUCAGUUGCAGAUAGGUACUAAAUUAUCUUAGUUCGGAUACACCUUGCCAAUUAGAUUAAGAUCAAGAAUUUAAAGUGAAUGGUUCACUUCUGAGUUCUUAAAUGAGAUAAAAUGUUCAGAGAUACUAAAUCAUCGCCUUCAUUUGAAAAUUGGCGUGCCUAUUAUGCUUUUGAGAAAUAUUGAUCAAACCAACGGUCUUUGUAAUGGAACAAGGUUGCAAGUUAUUGAUUUGAAGAAAAUGUUAUUUGUGCAAUAGUUCUAACAGGAACAAAUAUUGGUGAUAAAAUCUUCAUUUCAAGAAUGAAUUUGAUCCCUUUAGAUGUAGGUAUGCCAUUCAAAUUCCAGAGAAGACAAUUUCCAAUAGCUUUAUGUUUUGCAAUGACAAUUAAGAAAAGCCAAGGUCAAUUAUUGACCAAAGUUGGUUUAUAUUUUUCACAUCCAAUUUUCACACAUCGAUAGUUGUAUGUAGCUAUUUAUAGAGUUCGAAAGAAAAAAGAUUUAAAAAUUCUAACUCUUGAUGAAGAUGGAAUGCAACAAACAAGAAAAAGAAAAUGUUUACACUGAAAUUUUUGACAAUAUUUGAAAACAAUAGAAUUAUAUGAUAAACUUGGAAUGGCUAAUUCUCCCUGCAACCAAUAUUUUUGAACCUGCAACUUUUAAAUUUUUGAAAAUGCUCUUUAUUCCAGAAAUGAAAAUAAUACAUUACAAAAAAAAUAGAUCCAAAAAAGAUUAUUGUGUUUUGGUAAUAAAAAUCGGAAAACAAAAAUCAAAAGCCCAUUAUGAAUAAGAAAAUUCGUAAUACAAAAAAUUUGGUCUUAAAAACAAAAUCUGAAAACAUAUUCCAGAAAGAAAAUCCGAAAUGUAUUUUUAUAUAUAACCCAUUUUUUCAAGGGAGUUUCGUCUUUUCUAUUGUAAAAGGGGUUGGAAUUUGCUCCCUUGGAAUUAUAGUUUCUUAUGUGUGAUGUAGUAACAGUUGCCUUAUUUAAAAUGUUACUAAAUAACAUAUAAUUUAUAUCUGUUAUUUUUAUUCUGUUAUGACUUUAUAUAUUUGUCACAACAUGAAUGAGGCACAAACCCAUCUCAUGUUAACGAAGUUGAGAAUUUUCUGAUUUUACAGGUCCAUGCAAAAAUCUAAUAUAAUGAUAUGAUAUUCAAUAUCAAGAGGUACUUGUCGUAAAACGGGGAAUAUGAGAGACUCCAUAGAAUGAAGAAAAAGUAUAAAGAGGAUUUACAAAUUAACCUUUCAAAUGCAGCUCCUCAGAAUUUCAUAAUGCCUUCACUGCAAAUGCAACCCAAAUAUGCUAAAGAAGUUAAUCAAACAAUACAUGAGGAGUUUCAAGAAAAUGCAACUCUGGAACAACAGAGCAACCCAUCUCAUGCUGAACAGAAACAUCAAACUAUAUCUAACUUAGAAAUCUUUGUCAACAAUUGAACGAACCCACUCCUUAAAUACCAUUGAAAAUGUAAAUAAAACAAAAUAAAUUAAAAACGAGAAAUUCAUAAUAAAAAUUAAACGUGUUGAACCCUGUAAUUUAGAAGUAUUAACGAUAAGGCAGUUUAGAUCCUCACCAAUGAAAGAGACUAGCUGACUAGGUAGCUUUCGGCCUUCCUCUUCCUAUCUUCCCUUGUUUCUCUUGAAGACUCUGCAAUAUUGCUUCCAUUGGAUUGUUCAAAGUCAACAGCACCACCAUAUUUAUCAUCUUUCUUUUUCGUAUAAAGAGGGCAUAUGCCGCAUUCCUUUAUUGUGAUACCUGAUUUCAACCGAAAGUGAUAAUCACACGGACUGAUAAGUGAAGCUGCGAGCAUCACAGAUUCUAAGGCUCAUGCCGCUCGCCCUUAGGAACUCCAAGUUAAAUUUCCACACGAAUGUGUGAUCUUGAUCAACACAUCUCUCUUCACCAUUCGAAAUAGCUGUUUAACACAUCUAUCAUCGCUGCAGAAACUUAAAUCUUCAUUUAUAGUCACUGAAUGUCCCUUCCCACGAAAAUGGAACCAACCAGGAACUGCAGUCCCUGGAAAACAGAAGAACACAGACCUAUAUCUAUCGUCGGUCAUCCUAAGCCUUGCAUCCUCCUCAAUGUUAGCACGACCACCUGAAUCCAGUUGCUGAGCAUUGGUGAAAUGAAAUUUGAAUACACCCUCUUUGGAAUUUGAGAGGUUUCGAACAAGAGAAUUUGGCAUCACUCUUCUAAUGGAUGGGCAAUCCAAUGCCACGAGUUGCUUUAGAAAUGGUGGAAUCUGUGGGAUGCAUUCAAGCUUUUUGCAGUCGCUUAAAUCAAGCGAUUUCAAGCUUGAAAGAUGAGCAAUGCUCUCAGGAAGGUUCACGAUUCCGCUAUCACGCAGUGAUAGUUCCAUUAAUAACGUCAAACGACCAAUGUGUCUUGGGAUUUCUGUUAAUUUGGAGCACCCCGAACAAUUUAGAGAGAAGCUUCAGAUUAACAAUGGAGUUUGAAAGUGACUCGAUAUCAGUGUAUUUCUGAAGCUCCAAGGAUCGAAGAUUAACGAAAUUGCAAAAUGAGGAAGGCAACUGCGCAAACUCAGUUGUUGAAGCCCUACCAAACGGCACAAGGAUGAAGGUAGUGCCUGUAUGGCUGUGGCGUCUAAGAUGAGCACCGCUAGAUCUUCCAACGUGUCCUGAAUCUGGGGUAAAUUUUCCAAUUUUGAGCAACCACGGAGAGAAAGUUGCUUUAGGAAUUUCAUAUCAGAAAGGUCAAAUGGAAAGAUUGUAAGGGAAGAACAGUAAGAGAGAUCUAAAUGACAGAGCUUCUUGCAACUAAAGUGUAAGGGCACACCUUUCAUGAAUUUUGUCAACACUUCUAAGUAUAUAGUAUUAUUAGCCACUUCUUCUUCUUCAUUAUAUCUGUCAAAAGUAAUUGAGGAAGUUGGGAAAAUAUGACCACUGUAUGCACGAGGUUCACCACGCCGUCCUGCACCAUGCCGUUCUGAGAAAUUUAUCUCUUUGAUCAUAUCCGGUUUCUGGCGAUGGAAUCUUGAGAAAGUUUGACGUUGACGCUCCACGCUCCAGUAUCACAUGAGGGAAUCUUGAGAAAUUUCCACGUUGAUGCCCCAGUUUCUGAUGUGGGUAUCUUGUGACGCUCCAGUUUCACAUGACGAAAUCUGGGUUCACUGGUUGAAAACAUAUUAAGCUUCCCACAACAGGAAAUAUUAAUCCAUCCUUGUAAUGUGGAUAAAAUGUUGCUGGGAAUAUUUAUACUAUUCAGAUCAUAACAAUUAUCUAAACAUAAAUAACUGAGCUUGCUGAGUAAUAUCGAAGAGUGAACUUUAAUCAACUUUCCACAAUAACUCAGAAUUAUUUCUUCAAUAUUUGGUAAGAGAGAAAAGUCUGGUAUUCUAGUAAGUUUCCGAGAACCACUCAGGUCAAGCCUUUUCAAGUUUGGUAAAUUCUGCCACAAAUAGUAAAUGAAUCAGGUAACAAAUAAAAACCACUGUUAAAAAAAUCACACUCUGAACUAACAAAACUGUGGCUAUUCACUAUCAACAAUCCCUCUCAAAUACACUUCUACUAAUACAUUAACAACAAUAUCAUUAUAUUAACCAUAAAAUAUUACAUUUCUUCAGUUAAUACGUAGGACAAUAUAAUAAUCAGGUCACUCAGCUAAUGAAAAAAAUUAAACAACAUGAACUCAAUUAAAUAAUAUAAAACUUUUGAGUACUAGAUAAAAUAAGAAAAUUAAUAAAAAUUCAAUUUGAAAAUAAUCAAAUUUAUAAGAUACUUAAAACUUAAUUAAACCUACAAAUUUUCAUUAUAUGGAGUUAAAUACUAUAAAUAUUUACCACAUAAGUAGAAUGUUUAAAUAUAUAUUUCUUCACGUUGGAAGUUUUUUUCCUCUAUCUUAUAAGUUUUCUUUGUUUCUUUAAUAUUUUUUAAGCCAAUGUGAUUUUUUUAAUAUAAAAUAUUAUUAAAGAUAAAAUAUGAAGAUAGGGUAAUUAAAUAUAAUUUUUUAUUUUUUAGAAAUGAUGAAAAUUAUAAUUAAAUUAACUAAAUUAUAUAAAAUUCUAUUUCAUUUACAUAACUACUUUUCAUAUUAAAAAAACUAUAUAAGAUCUUGAAACUAUAAUUAAUAUUUCUACUCAUUUUUCGUUUUUGUUGGUGAAAUCUUGAUUUUGGGAUAGUAUUAGUGAGAUAUUGUUUGGAGUUAAAAACAAGAAAUUCUUUUGCAUAAUCAAUUUGAACAGUUUUGAUUUUGAAACCAGAUUUUCAGAGAAGAGUUUAAAGCGUUCAAAUGCAGCAAGAGCUUGAGAUUUAGCAUGCUAGAGAUAAAUUCAUGUAUAUUUUAAAUAUGCAUUAGGAAAAGAGAUAUCGUAUGAUGCAACAUUAUUAGCACAAACAACAAACAGCAGAACGUCCCCAAAUAUCAAUAUAGAUAAAUUCUAAAAGGUGAUUAUCCACACUGUUUUAGAACAACUUUGAUUACAGAAAAACUAUAACGCCCAAGUCUAUUAUGCCACAAGUGAAAAGAAGUUUUUUCAUAUUUAAAAGAUGUGUAGUUAGCAGAAAAAACAGAGGAUCAGAGAUCAAGAAAGACAGAGAGAUCAUCUUUAAGUGUGCCUUGUAGAAGAAUCUGUUUAGUUACUUAGUCUUUAACAUAGCAAGAAUGAGGGUGAAAUUCAAAAAACACAUUGUUGUUACGAGCAAACUUUGAAACACUAAGCAAAUUCUUAGUAUAAUGAGAAACAUGUAAAAGAUCAAGGAGAGAGAAGGAAGUACAAGAGGUAGACGACACACAGGAAGCAGAACCAAUGUGGGAGAUUUUUAUACCUGCACCAUUACCAAGUUUAACGUUCGCAAUGCCAUGAUAGAUUUGUUGAUCAUUGAACAGAGUAUGGUCGUUUGUUAUAUGGUGAGAGACACCGCUAUCUGGGUACCAUAAUGGAUCUUCUAAAGAUGAUGGUGGACCAAGAAGAGAGUAAGAAGAGUCAUCACGUGGAGGUGGAGAGAAAUGAGAUGUGUUUGCAGAGGAGGAUGGUGGUGUAGUACGAUCAAACCAGUGCCAACAAUGAAGAGCAGUGUGUCCAAGUUUGGAGCAUAUUUGACAGCGAACAGGGUUGCGUUUCCAUGAUGAAGACGUAGUGGAGUUCCAAGAAGAGUAUUGGGAAGGUCGGGGUUUGCCGCGGUUGAACUGAUUCUAGUUAGAUGUGGGAUUGUAACCACGACCACCACAGGAGGAGUUGGAAAAGGGGAGGUGGAGAGAAAUGAGAUGUGUUUGCAGAGGAGGAUGGUGGUGUAGUACGAUCAAACCAGUGCCAACAACAAUGAAGAGCAGUGUGUCCAAGUUUGGAGCAUAUUUGAGAGCGAACAGGGUUGCGUUUCCAUGAUUACGACAGUAAUAAAUGUAUUAUAUUCUUCAGAUAGCCUUCAAGGAUGAUGUCAAUAUGAUCAGUGGAAACAGGGGCAUCAAUAGCGGCAAGCAUGUUGACGGCGUUCUUGAUAUCAUGGAGAUAGGAGGAGAUGGAUCUGUGAUGACCUGAUUUUGUUGUUGGUACCAUUAGAGACUUGGGGACUGUCAUCAGUGGUGGAAGAAGUGGUUCUUGAUGGAACACUAGUGUCGUCAAGAAAAUGACCCAGUUUGAGCCCGCAAAUGGAGGCAAGGACUUGAUGUUUCCAGAGAAGAUAGUUAUCUUCAUCUAGUUUAAGAGUGAUGGGUGUUGUGAACUGUUGAACGGAAGGCAUGACCAGAGGUAACGGGCAAGAAGAAGAUGCAAAAGAAGAUGAAGAGAUAUGAGUGCAGUGCAUUAGAAUAGAGAGAGAAAGGAGAAAGAUAUUAUCUUAGUAUAUGUGCUAAAGGUAUAUAAGGAGUGCAGAACUGGAAACACUUACAAAGUUGUCGUUACACAGUUAUAGUAUGGUUAACAAUGUAUAAUACAGAAAACAUGCUUGUGUACUUUAUUUUUAUCUUUGAAAGUUUAGAACACAGAGGAACAUAGAUAGCUAGAAAAACCUGAUCUCCUUCCCAGAGUUGUUCAAGAUGGCAGCCUGGCAUUUCCAGGGUCACAGUCUGGCAUUUCCAGGGUCACUAGAUUUUGUGGGCAAAAGUUUGGAGGCCAGAAUCUUUGAGGGAAACCGUUCCAAUAAAGAAACUUUAGAGUGUCUGGCAGACCUACAAGAGAUGAUUCAAGAGACACAUUUGAUAUGAAUAUAGGCAUGUAGACCAUAAGCAUCAUAAGAUUGUCCAUCUUUUCGAAACUUUGUGCAUGUACUACAGCAUCUUUUACUUUGUUCGUAUGUAGUAAUAUACACUGUAUUGCAUCUGACCCCUGAAAGUAAAUCAAUUUAAUUAGGAGAAAAAAAACAUGAAAUGUUGCAUUGCAGGAUGUUUAAUGACAUCUCAGUGGUUUGCAAUUUUUUACAAAGUAAAUCCAUUCUCAAUUGAGUAACGACAUAAUACCUUGUUCUUUCUUAAAACCUCUCAAAUUUCCUCAGCAUUAAACAAUCGGCUGCGUUUUCCAGGAUGCUGAGGACACUCUUUACGAACAAUUUCUUGACUCAUUUCUNNNNNNNNNNNNNNNNNNNNNNNNNNNNNNNNNNNNNNNNNNNNNNNNNNNNNNNNNNNNNNNNNNNNNNNNNNNNNNNNNNNNNNNNNNNNNNNNNNNNGAUCCAUCUUUUUCUGCUGCUACCAUGUCGAACUCCCUUCAAAUCAAUACAAUGUCUUCACCAUCAAUCAGCCAAGUGAUUAAUGUUAAACUCACACAAGAAAAUUAUUUAUUGUGGUCUGCUCAAAUCCUUCCCUAUUUACGUAGUCAGGGGCUGGUUGGGUUUGUGGAUGGAUCCAUGCCACCACCAAACCAAACGAUUACGGUUGAGUCAAGUGAAGAAACAGGGAGCCGCAAAAUCCUGAAUUCACAGUCUGGUACCCCCAGGACCAGCUGGUACUCAGUCUCAUCAACUCAUCGGUUACCGAGGAAGUUCUCAGCACGGUGGUCGGAAUCACCACUGCACGAGAAGCCUGGGAUAUGCUGGAGCGGCAAUUUGCCUCCACAUCUCGAGCACGAGCAAUGCAGAAUCAUAUGGAACUCUCCACGAUCCAAAAGAAGGACAUGACAAUUGCUGACUAUUUUCGUAAAGUAAAACGUCUCGGAGACACUCUGGCUGCCAUUGGCAAGCGAGUAGAGGAUGAAGAACUCAUCGCCUACAUGCUGCAAGGACUUGGUCUAGAUUAUGAUCCUCUUGUCACAAGCAUUACAACUAGAACAGAUGUUUACACUGUCAGCGAUGUGUAUGCUCAUAUGCUGAGCUACGAGAUGCGUCAUCUGCGUAAUGGUACUCUUGAGCAAUUUCCUUUUGCUAACAAUGUCAACAGCAUGUCUAAUCGAGGAGGAACUAAUGGACGUCGUGGUGGUCGUGGUCGUCAAUCAAAUGGUGGUCGAGGACAAACAUGGCACACUAGAAACAAUUCUGGACGUCAGCCAUCAAAGGCACAAAGUAACUCAGACAAAGUCUGUCAGAUUUGUGGUAAGCCAAACCAUGAUGCUUUGCAAUGUUGGCACAGAUUUGAUCAGGCAUAUUAAGCCGAAGACAAUCUUAAACAAGCAGUUGUGGCCACAAGUGGAUAUACUGGUGAUGCAAACUGGUACGUAGAUACUGGAGCCACAGAUCACAUCACCAACGAGUUAGAAAGACUUACCACCAACGAACAUUACAAUGGCACUGAUCAGAUUCAAGUUGCAAAUGGCUCAGGUUUUUCUAUCUCUCAUAUUGGGAACUCAUUAAUUUCUGGUUCAUCUAGAUCUCUUGUACUGAAACAUAUCCUAUAUGCUCCUAAAAUCAAUAAACAUCUGAUUUCAGUACAAAGACUAGCAUCUGAUAAUAAUGCCUUUGUGGAAUUUCACCCACACUGUUUUUUUGUUAAGGACCGAGCCACGAAGGAACUUCUGCUCACAAGUAGAUGUAAGAAUGGCCUCUACACUUUACCAAAUAACUCCAGCAAAGCAUUCCCGACAGCCAAACUUUCGAAAGAACAAUGGCAUAGAAGACUUGGGCAUCCUGCUUUCCCAGUCACAAUUAGAAUCUUGAAAAAUAAUAACUUAGCUCUAGAUACUAGAGUUUCUUCUUCCUUAAUUUGCCAUGCUUGUCAACUAGAAAAGCACAUCAAUUACCCUUUGUUUCUUCUCAACAUGUAUCUACAGCACCUCUUCAAUUGAUUCAUACUGAUGUAUGGGGUCCAGCCAUUGUCUUAGUGAAUAAUUCUAAAUAUUAUGUUUCAUUUGUUGAUGAUUUUAGCAGAUAUGUUUGGAUUUAUUUUUUGAAAUACAAGUCUGAUGUUGAGUCUGUGUUUCAUCAGUUUCAAAAACAUGUUGAAACCAUGCUAAACACCAAAAUUCGCUCUGUCCAGUCAGAUUGGGGGGGUGAAUACCAUCGUUUGCACCAAUAUUUCAAAACAACUGGAAUUGAGCAUCGUCUUUCUUGUCCUCACACACAUCAGCAAAAUGGGUUGGUAGAAAGAAAGCACAGACACAUUGUGGAAACUGGCCUUACUUUACUUGCCCAAGCUAACAUGCCUUUGUCCUAUUAGGAUGAAGCCUUCAAUACAGCUUGUUACCUUAUAAAUAGACUACCAUCUCGAAUCAUACAAGCAAGACACACCACUUCAUAAAUUAUUUGCAAAAAAUCCAGAUUACACCAUGCUUAAGGUGUUUGGCUGUGCUUGCUGGCCCAAUUUAAGGCCUUACAACACCAAGAAACUGAGUUUUCGAACCACUAAGUGUGUCUUCUUAGGCUAUAGUUCUUCUCAUAAGGGAUACAAGUGCUUAGAUAGAAGUACAAAACGAAUUUACAUCUCUAGAGAUGUAAUCUUUGAUGAAAAUGUGUUUCCUUUUGAAGAAUUAAAUUCUAAGUCAUCAAUCCAAACCAAAAAUUCACACCAGCCUGCUCUACUUCCAACCUUCGUUAAACCCGUUCCAUACACUGAAAAUGCUCUCACAAAUAUUGAACCAGUUGUUAAUGAUUCUCGUAUAAUUGAUGGUCAAUCUAAUGAUGUUGCUAAUAACAACUUGUCUGGUAUAAGCUUACAUCCUGCAGAUAAUACAAUAAGUCCAGAAAUUGUUGCAGAACAGGAAGCUGAGAACAGUCUGACCAAUUUCCAAGAACAGAUGUUCNNNNNNNNNNNNNNNNNNNNNNNNNNNNNNNNNNNNNNNNNNNNNNNNNNNNNNNNNNNNNNNNNNNNNNNNNNNNNNNNNNNNNNNNNNNNNNNNNNNNGAACAAGAUUGAAAAAUAACAUUGUCCAAGCAAAACAGUUCACUGAUGGUACUGUCAGAUAUUCAGAGACCUCAAGAAAGUUUACCGGUGCUGUCACUGUCAAAAAUCCGACCACAAUAAAUGUACUAAAAAAUGCUACUGAGACUGAUACAGUUACUGAACCUCAAAACCUGCAGGAAGCUCUACAAAGUCCAGGUUGGCAGGAAGCAAUGAAUAAUGAGCUCUCAGCAUUACAACACAAUGAGACUUGGGAUUUCGUUCCACCAAAACCUGGCAUAAAUCUCAUUGAUAGUCGAUGGGUGUAUAAAGUGAAAAGGAAAGCGGAUGAAUCAGUGGAGAGAUUGAAAGCAAGGUUGGUUGCUAAAGGGUUCAAGCAAAGAUUUGGCAUUGAUUACAUUGAUACCUUUAGCCCCGUGGUCAAGCCAUCAACAAUCAAAGUUAUUCUUUCACUAGCAGUAACCAAAGGCUGGAAUAUGAGACAAGUUGAUAUCCAAAAUGCAUUCUUGCAUGGAAUUUUGGAAGAGGAAGUGUACAUGCGACAACCAUCGGGAUUUCAAGACCCAUAUAAACCAAAGGAAUACAUAUGCAAACUCAAGAAAGCGCUUUAUGGCCUGAAACAGGCUCCAAAGGCUUGGCACUCAAGACUGACUGGAAAACUUAUGGAAUUAGGCUUUAGAGCUUCUGUAGCUGAUUCAUCUUUGUUUAUCCUCAAAAACAAAGAGGUAACCAUCUAUAUGCUCAUAUACGUUGAUGAUAUAAUUAUCGUGAGCUCCUCUGAUCAAGCCACCGAAAGGUUGAUUCAGAAGUUGAAAAUAGAUUUUGCUAUAAAAGACUUAGGUGGUCUUGAGUAUUUUCUGGGUAUUGAAGUCAAGAAGGCAAGAGAUGGCAUCACANNNNNNNNNNNNNNNNNNNNNNNNNNNNNNNNNNNNNNNNNNNNNNNNNNNNNNNNNNNNNNNNNNNNNNNNNNNNNNNNNNNNNNNNNNNNNNNNNNNNAAAUUAUUCAAAGAGCAGGGAACACUCUUGUCAAUUGAAGAACAAUUUAAAUACAGAAGUACUGUGGGAGCAUUGCAAUACUUGACAAUGACCAGGCCUGAUUUGGCAUUUGCUGUCAACAAGGUUUGCCAAUACCUUCAUACGCCUACUGAUGCUCAUUGGAGUGUUGUAAAGAGAAUCCUUCGUUAUGUCAAGGGCACAUUAGAUUUGGGAAUCAGAAUUCAGAAGUCUCCAACAAUGCUGCUGUCCGGAUUUUCUGAUGCUGAUUGGGCUGGUUGUCCUGAUGAUCGACGUUCAACUAGCGGCUUUGCUGUAUUUCUUGGAGCAAAUCUAAUUUCUUGGAGCUCUAGAAAACAAACCACAGUGUCCAGAUCGAGCACCGAAGCAGAAUACAAGGCCAUUGCGAAUCUGACAGCAGAAAUGAUUUGGAUAAAAUCAUUAUUGAAAGAGCUUGGUGUGUAUCAAUCAAAAGCUCCUCGACUCUGGUGUGACAAUCUAGGAGCUACAUACUUAACUUCAAAUCCAGUGUUUCAUGCAAGAACAAAACAUAUUGAAGUUGACUUCCAUUUUGUUCGAGAACAAGUGGCACGCAAAGCAAUGGAAGUUCAGUUUAUUUCAUCAAGUGAUCAAGUGGCUGAUAUCCUAACAAAACCACUGUCUAGAACUCUCUUUAUUACACAUUGUAACAAUCUCAACAUGUAUAAAACCUGUUGGGAUUGAAGGGGACUGUUAGAAUUAGUCAGUUAGAAGUGGAACACGUUUGUAGAAGUGGAACACGUUAGUUGGUUAGUUGCCUUAAGAAGCGGAUCAUGGAUCCAACCGUGUAUGCAAUCAGUUACCUUUCUUUAAUUAUAAAUACAAUACGUCCUCCACAUAGAGAGGUACAGUUAGCAAACUUUAUUAGAGCUGAAUCGGUAACAUCAUCAAGAAUGAGGAGAACCUUUGUCCGUUUGAGCCUUUCAUUGUAAUAUGGUGAAGAAGAGGAUUUCUCUUCCUUUAGAAGCUCAGACUGAUAUUUUGUUCUGAUACUGUCUAUUCCAUCUCUUUGUAUUUUUUCUUGAACGUCUAAAACAAGGCUGCUGGAAUCAAACUGCAAUGCCAAUUUGUGAUAUAUUUGAUUACAAAUUGUAGUUUUUCCUAUUCCUCCCAUGCCACAAAUUCCUAUGAUCCGAACAUCCGGUGACUCAAGAUGCAACAAGGACUGAAUUCCUUCAAUAUGUUUUUCAAUGCCGAUGAUUCCUUGAUCAUAACUGAUGGAAUAACGAUUCAAUUUUUUCAACAAGUGUGUGUUCUGUGCUGGCAGAUGAUUUAGAAAAUAAUGUAUAAGUAUUCAAGCACAAAAGCUAAACUAAAGAAAAAUUCUACAGCAUCCGUUUGUGACUUCUGAUACUAGGGAGAAGACUUGUAGGUACAAAGUUAAGCUAUAACAUGUAAUAUGGUUCAGAUCUAAGACCGACUAAUAGAAAUGAAAAAAGAAGCACUUGAUUUAGGGUGAGAUGAACACAAUUUUAGUAAAUGAAAAGAGAUCCUGAUUAUCUGGAAAGUGCGUGACCUGGUGACUUUUGAAUCCCAGCCUGCAAGUUCAGCAGCUUCGGUGAGAGCAUCCUUCCAUCCUUGCACUUUAUCGUGCUUAAAGUGCUGCUCAUGCUUUUCGAAUGCUUCUUUGUAUCUUUGUUCCUGCUUCCUAAUAGUUGAUGGAUCCACCUUGUAGAAAACAGGUAUGACAUCCCUUCCAAAUCUCUUCUUGCAUUCAAGUAUCUUAGUGAGUUCAUUCAAGCACCAAGUGGAAGAUGCAUAGUCUUGGGAGAAAACGAUGACAUAAAUCUUUGAAAAAUAAGUAUGAAAUCUAGAUAUAUAUCAUUAUCACGUGUGGAAGCUACGUCGUCUUGUAUUGGAUUUUCUAAUCUGCCUUUUAUCUUGUCUCAUUCUUCUUUAUCUUUUUUCUCUCAUCUCUCUUGCUUACGAUUUCUUUGCCUUUAUUCAGAAAUUUUAGUUAUAAUAAACCUUCAAUAAUAUUUGUACUUUCUAGCAUAUAGAAUACUUAAUGGAUCCUUUUCUGAUUUUUCUUUUCUAAAGUUCAAUUGAUUUUUUAAAUGUUUUUCUAUUUAAUUUUCCUUUCUUAAUGACACAUAAAAUGGUUCAGUGCACAAUUAAUUAUUCUCACCUUAGAUUUCAUUCAUCUCAUUCCAUUUCCACACUCAAAUCAUUCUCACAUUUGUUUCUACCUGUUUCACAAAGUUUUAGUUAAAAUAUGGAAAUUAAUGUUCAAGAACCCUACUUAAUAUUAAUAUUCAACAAUUUAAAAUAUUAAAAUGCAAAUUAAUCUUUCUUAAUAAUGUCAUUUUUAUGUAAAAAAUAAAAUGUAGUUUAGUCAUUUAUACUUAGAUGGAUAAAGAUGAUUUUAGAAAAAAAAAAUGCAUUUUAUUUCAAAGGUUAACUAAACUCUGAACUCAUUUAUGAAUUAAUAAUAAUAAAUAAUAUGUAAUUGUAUUCCAAUACCAUAUAAAUUUUUUUUAUUGGGUGCGUUUCUGAUGAAUUAAUGCACUCUAGGGACAAUGAUCGCUCUAGUAUUUGAUUUUUUAUUUAUUUUAAUGUUAAAAUUAUAGCUAUGUAGUACAGAUAUUACUGACACAGACAGACACGAACACGGACACAGAAAUACAUAAAAUCUCUAAAAUGUAGAAUACGGAGACAUUAAUCUAUAUAUUAUAUAAUUAUGAAUCAUAUAAAUUAACAAUAAAGAUUUAUGUGCACAAGUAUUUUUGAGAUUAUUUUUUAGAACAGAAAUAUGUUUUUCAUGACUAGUUCACAAAUAUUUGUUUCUUAUUCUUAUAAUCAUAAUAACAAUUUAUACCAUAAAGUUUCAAUUUUAGAAAAUUAAUGUAUUUUUUCUUUUUAAAAUUUCGUUAGAACUGUACUAGAAUUGUAAAAAAUCUAACAAAUACAUUUUGAAUUGGACAUUCCACGAAUACGUGUCCUACCAGUAUUUUGAACAACAUUCUUUCUUUUGGAACAAAGAGGGCAUAUGCCGCAGUCUUUUACUGUGAUAACUCAUUUCAACUCUCACACAACUGAUUCGUAAUCUGUGGGAUGCAUUAAAGCCUUUUGCAGUUAAAUCAAUAGUAUAUGAUGAUGUGAAUGUUAUUUAUAUACUAAAUAUAAUCACAUAGUAACUUCAAAUUUGAUAAGGUACAACAUGUUACCAUAUCUCUUUUAAUUUAUUUUAUUUCAUUAUAUAUUUAGGUGUAUUUAAUUUCUUUUAUUUCAUUGUGUAUUUAGGUGUAUUACGUAAAAUAUAUAAUUAAAAAGAAAGAAGAAUAAUGUUAUUUUGAAAUUUAAAGAAGACAUAUAGAAAUAAACAAGCUUUUGCUAAGAUUCCACCAUUGAAAAGGAACAUAGAACAAUCUUGACAAUUAUACUUUGACUUAUUUUAAUUUCUUAUAUUUAUGAGUAUUAUUUUUUCUUAAACAUAGAUAUUGGAUAAAAAAUACAAAUAACAUUUCUUUAUUUCAAAUUUAAAAAUAUUUUAAAUUAAAAUAAAAUAAUUUUUUAAUUAAGAUAUAACAAAAUAUUCUUUAACAAAUUAUUUUAAUUUCAAAAUAAUUAAUUCAGAGGACGAUUGAAAAAAUAUUAAAUAUUAUAAUAAAGCUUCAAUAAUAUUUGUACUUUCUAGCAUAUAGAAUACUUAAUGGAUCCUUUUAUGAAUUUUCUUUUCUAAAGUACAAUUGAUUUUUUAAAUGUUUUUCUAUUUAAUUUUUCUUUCUUGACACAAAAUGUUCAGUGCACAAUUAAUUACUCACCUUAGAUUUCGUUCUUCUCUUUCCAUUUCCACACUCAAAUCAUUUUCACCUUUUUUUUCUUCUUAUUUCACAAAACUUUAAUUAAAAUAUGGAAAAUAAAGUUCAAGAACCCUGCUUAUAUAUUAAUAUUCAAAAAUUUAAAAUAUUAAUAUGCAAAUGAAUAUUUCUUAAUAAUUUUAUUUUGAUGUAAAAAAUAAAAUGUAGUUUAGUCAUUCAUACUUAGAUGGAUAAAGAUGGUUUUAGAAAAAAAAAAAGAAUAUGCAUUUUAUUUGAAAGGUUAUCUAAACUCUGAACUCACUGAUGAAUUAAUAAUAAUAAAUAAUAUGGAAUUCUAUUCCAAUACCAUAUAGGAUGGAGAAAAGUAAGAAGAGGAUUUACACAUUACCCUUUCAAAUGGAGCUCCUCAGGAUUUCAUAAUGCCUUCACUGCAAAUGCAACCCAAAUAUGCUAAAAAAGUUAAUGAAACUAUAUAUGAAGAGUUAAUGAAACUAAAUGGCGUGUGCUGAAAUUUUUGAUCCGAUAACCAUGCCCACAUUCAAAAAGUGAAAGGUUACUUUGCUUUAUAUUCCUUUGGGUGGUGCUACUUUUCAACUUGACAACAAAUUCCCAUUAUUGUGUGGUUAUCAAUUACCAUUUAACUUAUUCUCAUACCACAUUCACUAUAUAAUAGUCCAUCAUAAACCCCAAAAUUUGCACAUUUUCUAUUUGCAAGACAUCCAACAGACAAAGAAAACAUGUGAAACUGUGUAAUAAUGUGAGAACGUAAGAACUUACUUCAUCAUGAAAUCAAGCCAUGCCUGAGGGUUUUUUCUGAGAGCAUUCACCACAGGUGCAUAUUCAUGUGGCUGUAUCCCAUACUCAGCUAGUAUUUCUGCUACCUCUGCCGCUUCUUUUUUUGUCAAAAAACACAUAUUCAUUAUUAAUGUGCAAUCAAAUGGUAACGAAACUAUGUAGUACAAACACACACUGAUACGACACUAGGACGAACAUACGUAUAAUGUUACUCCUUCUAUGGAAAUGAAGGAUAUUCAGCAAUAACUUUUAAAACUCAUUACAUAGAAAUUUGCAUCAAGUUAUCAAAGUCUAUAGGAAUGAAUUUUCAAUUCAUGGAAACACAGAUAACAAAAAGUAAUAGAAAAAUAGAAAAAAAGUUGUCAAAUGAUUCUAUAAAAAAUUAACCUAUCAUGAAAAUCAAGAUGAUAGAAAAUAAAAUAAUGUGGCAUGAACAUCAAAAUCGUAUAAAAGCAUAAUAGAAGAACAGUGGAUACCAGUUUCUGGCACGGCGAUGAUUUCUUCUUGCUCUCUUUUCAAUUCCCUCGAGUAAUUAUCGGCUUCACUUUUUGCUGCCAAAUAACUGCACAAUGAAAAUUAACAUGAAAUAAUAACGGAAUUUAAAUUGAGUUUUGUGAGUGUGAAGAGUGUGGUUGAACGUACCCGCCGAGGCCCAUGGAGAUGGCGCCGGCGGCGACUUCCGCUAUGCCAGCGGUGAGAACGAUGGAGGAGGUGACAUUGGCGCCGGAGAGGCCGGCGGCGAGGGCGAAGGGGACGGUGAGGCCGUCGGAAACGCCGAUGAUGAUGUCGCGGACUAUUUCGCCGGCGGUGAAGUGCUUCUCGGUGUGGUGGUUGAGAAGGUUCGUUCUCUCAGAAUCCACGCUUAUGCCGUGUUCGGUGGCGGCCAUUGGUGCAAGCUUGUGAAUGUGUUUGAGUUCGCCAACGUGCUCUGGGAAUCCAAACAAAGCCUUGCUGCUUUGCACAUAAAUUGAGCCUCUUUUGUGCUCAACUUACUCCUAAAUAGAACAAAAAUAUCUAACCGUUGAUGAUAUCCACGUGGAAAAUUAUCAAUGGAUAUCAAUAUCACAUUAUUUCUACACUAAUAUUUUAAUUAUUUUUAAAUAUUAUAACUAAAUCAAUCAAUAUAAUACCAAAUCUUCUUAAUUCUUUGGAUUAUAUAUAUUUUAUUUUAUUUUAUUUAUAAAGGAAGUUGUGAUAAAUGUUGUGUUUUGUGUGCACAUUAAUAAAAAUCAAAUAACCAAAAAAUAAUAAUCUUGUGAAAGAAAAAAUGGUAGAAUUUAUACUAUUCUACAAAAUUUUAAAAGUGGCUAAUGUGUUUUACUCAACUAUGUAAAUAAUUUUGGACUCUCUUGUUAAGGAAAUAAUGAAAUACAUUAAAUUUUGUUUUAUACUCUUACUUUAAGUUUUUUUGUGUUUCUCCUGACUUAAUUAAAUAUCAGAGAGUCGUCUUUUGCAGGUAGAUUUCAUUCUAUCAUAAUAUACCAACUGAAAACUUGUUUUCUGAAAAACACACGGCUCUCACCGAAUUGCACUUUCCAAUUUUUUUUAAUAGAAAUAAUAAUAAUUAAGUAUUUGUGUUCUUAUAUUUAAUUUUUAAUAAAAAAAUUAUUCUUAUGUACUUCUAAAUUGAUAUAUUUUACCAAUGUCUAUUAACAAUGGGAAGAAGUUUAUACCUAACAAAACUAUUUAACAUGAUUUGUUUGUAAAUUAUAGAAGUAUGUGUAGAAAGAUAUAAAAUUAAUGUUUUAAGAGAAAUUUAAGCAACUUUCAUAAUAUAUUGUAGAUUAUUAGUUGAAUUUAUGGAAAUUAAAAAUAAAUUGUAGGUCACCACACUUCCACUUUUUUUUAAUGAUAUCAAAUCACAACUUUACAAUUUUCACUAAUUUUUAACCAAUAACAAAAGAACAUCUUAGAAGAAGUGUGUUUAAGAAUUUGAUGUUAACUCUCAUUGUUUUUUAAACUUAAAUCCAGCUUUAUUCUUCAACUUUUAAUUUUUAUACAUAUUUAAUUGUAUAUAUAGUUUUUAACUCUCUAAAAUCAAACAAUUUUAAUUCAUUAAAUAGGCAAUGUCAUGAGUGUUAAACUUUUAACAUUUUUCUAGUAAUUAAAUUACUUAUGAAGAUUCAACUAAUUCAAAAUUUAAUAUUUUUACAAUUUUUAUUAUAAUAUUCUUAAAAUAUAUUUUAAUAUUUUGUUUUUCAUGUUUGAAAUAUAAAUGUUUUAAAAAAUCAUUUUAAAUUAUUUUGUUUCUCAUCUUAUGUAAUAAAUUACUAUAAUAAUUACUAAAACAUUUAAUACCUAUACAUUUUUAAUGAGCAAAAACUAAUAAUGAAUUAUAACAAAUAAAAAACGUUUCUGGGCAACAAAAUAGUAAUUAAUAUGAAUUAUAACAAAUAAUGAACGUUUUGUGGUAAUUUGUUUCACUUUCAAAUAAGUUAGUACUUCGCCUGUUAUUUCAUAACGGUAGUUUUUUUAAAUAUAUUAAGAAAAAUGUUUAUUUUUUUAUUUUUAAUGCACUUUUAAGUAACUUGCCUAUUAUAUUAUAUUAUAUGGGUAUUAUAUAUAUAUAGGUAAGCACCAAAAAAUAAAUUUAAGGUAAAAGUGAUAUAAUUAAAAUAAAAUAAAUUAUUAUUAAAUAGAAAAUAUAUAUAAUUAAAAAAAUCAGUUAUUUAAGUUUUAUUUUAAAAUAAUUUUUGUAAAAAAAUUUUCUUUUUUUCCUUGUUCACGAUUUUAAAUUUUAUAUUCACUUGGUAGACAUGUUUUGCAUGUGGUGUUUGGGACUUAAAAGAAUAAUAUAUGUUAGUUCAAGAUCCUAAUGAUGUGUUUUUAAGAAGUUGGACUAUCUUUGUUUUUUUAAGAAGUUGAAGUCUUUUUAUGAAUACUUAUCUUUUUAAACAGGUAAGAUAAACUAGUUUUAUCUGUAAAACUUAAGUUAGAAUAUCUGAAUAUGAAAUGUGAUUCUUCAUAUGAUUAUGAUUGAAUGAUUCAAAAUUCAAGUAUAAAGUUUUAAGAAUCAUUAACUUAUGUUUUUUUUUUUGUGCUAUUUUUUUGAUUUUUUGCAAUGAUUGUGUGUUGCAUGUGAGCAAAUGAUGUUACAAGUUGUAAACCUAAAAAAAAAUCAUGAAAUUUUGUCUUUUUUAUUCUUUUGAUAUUUUAUCUUAAUGAUAUAUAUAUAUAUAUAUAUAUAUAUAUAUAUAUUUAAAAAUCUCUAUAUGAAAGGAUAGUAUUUUAUGAUAUAAUAAUAUGAUAAUGUAAAUGUUAUUUAUAUAAUAAAUAUCAUGAGAUAAUUUAAAUUUUGAUAAGAUAAAUGAAGAUGUUACAAUAUCUCUUUUAAUUUUUUUUUAUUUCAUUAUAUAUUUAGGCGUAUUUAAUUUCUUUUAUUUCAUUGUAUAUUUAGGUGUAUUACGUAAAAUAUAUAAUUAAAAAGAAAAAAUAAUGUUAUUUUGAAAUUUAAAGAAUGACGUAUAGAAAGAAACAAGCUUUUGUUAAAAUUCCACCAUUGAAAAGGAACAUAGAACAACACUCUUGACAAUUAUACUUUGACUUAGAUACUUAUUUUAAUUUAUUAUAUUCAUGAGUAUUAUUUUUUCUUAAACAUAGAUAUUGGAUAAAAAUUAAUAAAAUUUAUUUAUUUCAAAUUUAAAAAUAUUUAAAAUUAAAAUAAAAUAAUAUUUUUAAUUAAGAUAUAAAAAAAUAUUCUUUACAAAUUUUUUUAAUUUCAAAAUAAUUAAUUCAGAGGAUGAUUGAAAAAAUAUUAACAAUCUAUUUAUGCGUUUAUAGUAAACCUUCAAUAAUAUUUGUACUUUCUAGCAUAUAGAAUACUUACUGGAUUUCUUACUCUUUCUUUCUACACCUCUAUCCAUACUAAAUAUAAAAAUACCAUUUUAUUCUUUUUUCUCCACCCCUUGAAUUUGAAAUAAUAAGCCCAUGGAUUAUGUAAUCUGGAUAUAUUCCGGAUUAGUCAAUUUCAUAUUUAGAAAAGACUUUCGGAUUAUGUAAUCCAGAAGCUAAUAAAACAUCUGAAAAAAAGGCUUCCGGAUUACAUAAUCCGGAAGCUAAUCUUAUGUAUAGAAAAGACUUUCGCAUUAUGUAUUCCGGAAGCUAAUCACAAAAGACUUCUGGAUUACAUAAUCCAAACGCUAAUUCUAAAUCUAGAAAAAAGACUUCCGGAUUAUGUAAUCCGGAAUAUUAAAAAAGAUAUUUUUGAAAUACGAAAAAUUUAUGGGGGUGACACAAGAAGGUAUGGAGGUGCAGGAAGAAACAGCCUGGAUUCCUUUUGUGAUUUUUCUUUUCUAAAGUACAAUUGAUAUUUUAAAUGUUUUUCUAUUUAAUUUGUCUUUCUUAAAUGACACAUAAAAUGUUCAGUGCACAAUUAACUACUCACCUUAGAUUUCGUUCUUCUUUUUCCACUUCCACACUAAAAUCAUUUUCACAUUUUUUUUACCUAUUUCACAAAAAUUUAAUUCAAAAAUGGAAAUUAAAGUUCAAGAACCCUACUUAUAUAUUAACAUUCAACAAUUUAAAAUAUUAAUAUUCAAAUUAAUCUUUCUUAAUGUUAUGAAAAAUUUAAAAUGUAGUUUAGUCAUUCUUGGAUGGAAAAAGAUGGUUUUAGAAGAAAAAAAUGCAUUUUAUUUGAAAGGUUAUCUAAACUCUAAACUCAUUGAUGAAUUAAUAAUAAUAAAUAAUAUGGAAUUCUAUUGGAAUAGCAUAUAAAUGUUUUGUUGUUGAAACUGAUAAUUGGGUGCGUUUCUGAUGAAAUUAAUUAAUGCAGUCUAGGGACAAUUAUCGCUCUAGUAUUUCAUUUUUUUAUUUUUAACGUUGAAAUUAUAAUUAUACAAUUCCGUUUUUAGAUAUUAAAAUGAUAGUUUUCAUUUACAGAUUAAAAUAUUACUUGUUUCUUUUAAGAUUUUUUUGGUAUUAUAAUUAUUUGUUAGCUGAAUUGUUUUGCGUUAACAUGUUGUUUUCUUGGGCUAUGAUGUAAGCAAUAUAAAUGUUAUUUUUAAUGUAAGCAAUAAAAAUUAUGAGUAUUCAAAGUCGUGUAAUUACUUAAAAGAAUCAAGUGAUUUUUAAAAGAACUCACACGAUCAGUUUUAAUUUUGACGAUAAAAUAUAUUAGUUAUAUAUAUUUAUUCAAAAUUUCAAUUAUACUAUGCAUUUAUGGUUUUAUGCUUUUAGAGGAAUCAGUAACUUAGAAAAGCUCCCAAAAACUAAUGAAAUCCCAUGAAUGAAGAAGGAGAACAAAUGGAAGUGAAAAAUCAGUAAGAUGAUAAUUAAUAAACACCCUCUCUUAAUAACAUAACAUAGGAGUCUUUAAACUUAUAUUCUUCAAACAAUUAUAAGCUGUCUUCAACUUUACUGUUAAACUACAAUUAUAAAGAAUUAACAAUCUCACACACCAACAACAUUUAUAAGUCAUCACUCACAUGCAACAAGGUGUGCCUCAAUGUGAAAAAACCAAGAUCAAUAAGAAAUGAGGUUCCACUUAACCAAGCUGAGAAUUGUCUGGUUUUCCAGCUCCAUGCACAAACCUAAUACAAUGAUAUGAUAUUCAAUACCAAGAGGUACCUUGUCGUAAAACUGAGAAUAUGAGGUUGCAUAGGAUGGAGAAAAGUAAGAAGAGGAUUUACCAAUUACCCUUUCAAAUGCAGCUCCUCAAGAUUUCAUAAUCCCUUCACUGCAAAUGCAACCCAAAUAUGUUAAAGAAGUUAAUGAAACCGAAAUAUGAAGAGUUUCAAAAUAAAAAUUUAACAUGUUGAAACUUGUAAUUUAGAAGUAUUGACUAUAAGGCAGUUUAGAUCCUGACCAAUGAAAGACUAAUAAGCAGAAGAGGAAGAGACUAGUUGACUGGCUAGCUUUCGGCCUUCCACUUCCUAUCUUCCCUUGUUUCUCUUGAAGACUGUGCAACAUUGCUUCCACUGGAUUCUUCAAUCUCAACAGCACCACCAUAUUCAUCAUCUUUCUUUUUCGUAUAAAGAGGGCAUAUGCCGCAUUCUUUUAUUGUGAUAACUGAUUUCAACUCUCUCACAACUGAUUCGUAAUCUGGCCACCCAAAGUCAUAAUCACACGGACUGAUCUCAAAAGUGAAGCUGCGAGCAUCACAUAGCCUGAGGCUCAUGCCGCUCGCCCUUAGGGACUCCAAGUUAAAUUUCCACACGAAUGUGUGAUCUUUAUCAACACAUCUCUCUUCACCAUUCCAUUUGAAAUAGCUGUUUAACACAUCAUUAUUUGGAAUGAUCUGUGUGCCAUCAUCAUCAGAUUCAAAUGUUAGGCUGUAACUAAAAGAACCAUAUCUACCAUUCAUAGCAUACGUAUCUAACACUCCAAAAACCACACUCAAAGCGAAACCAGUGAGCCUAUCAUCGCUGCAGAAACUUAAAUCUUCAUUUAUAGUCACUGAAUGUCCCUUCCCACGAAAAUUGAACCAACCAGGAACUGCACUCCCUGGAAAACAGAAGAACACACACCUAUAUGCAUCGUCGGUCAUCCUAAGCCUUGCAUCCUCCUCAAUGUUAGCACGACCACCUGAAUCCAGUUGUUGAGCAUUGGUGAAAUGAAAUUUAAAUACACCCUCUUCGGAAUUUGAGAGGUUUCGAACAAGAGAAUUUGGCAUCACUCUUCUAAUGGAUGGGCAAUCCAAUGCCACGAGUUGUUUCAGAAAUGGUGGAAUCUGUGGGAUGCAUUCAAGCUUUUUGCAGUCGCUUAAAUCAAGCGAUUUCAAACUUGAAAGAUGAGCAAUGCUCCCAGGAAGGUUCACGAUUCCGCUAUUACGCAGUGAAAGUUUCAUUAAUGACGUCAAACGACCAAUGUGUCUAGGGAUUUCUGUUAAUUUGGGGCACCCCGAACAAUCAAGUUUAGAGAGAAGCUUCAGAUUAACAAUGCAGUUUGGAAGUGAGUCGAGAUCAGUGCAUUUGUGGAGCUCCAGGGAUCGAAGAUUAACCAAAUUGCCAAAUGAGGAAGGCAAUUCUUUAACAGCCGUAGAUGUUAAGUUAAUGUGAGCAAAAGUAUGAGCCGGCUCCGUGAUCUCUGGGAAGGACCUCAGCCUUGAGCAACCACCUAAAUCAAACUUCCUCAAUUUCAAAUUGAAAAUGGUGCUUGGAAAAGUUUGAAGUGAAUUACAGUGGGUAAGGUCUAACUUGCAUAGUCUGGUGAGGGUUCCAAUGGAAGAUGGAAUAAUCUGAAGAUUGAAGCAACUGCGCAAACUCAGUUGUUGAAGCCCUACCAAACGGCACAAGGAUGAAGGUAGUGCCUGUAUGGCUGUGUCGUCUAAGAUGAGCACCGCUAGAUCUUCCAACGUGUCCUGAAUCUGGGGUAAAUAUUCCAAUUUUGAGCAACCACGGAGAGAAAGUUGCUUUAGGAAUUUCAUAUCAGAAAGGUCAAACGGAAAGAUUGUAAGGGAAGAACAGUCAGAGAGAUCUAAGUAACAGAGGUUCUUGAGACUUUGAAAGUUCAAGGGCACACCUCCUCUGAGAUUUGCCGACACUUCAAAUUGUAAGUAUAGAGUAUUAUUAGCCACUUCUUCAUUAUAUCUGUCAAAAGUAAUUGAGAAAAUUUCACUGGAACUUCGGAAAAUAUGAACACCGGAUGCACAUUGCGCUUCAACUAUCAUAUUUCCACGUUUAUGCCGCAGUUUCAUAUGAGGGAAUCUGGGUUCACUGGUUGAAAACAUAUUAAGCUUCCGACAACAGGAAAGAAUAAUCAAUCCUGGUAAUGUGGAUAAAAUGUUGUUGGGAAUAUUUACACUAUUCAGAUCAUAACAAUGAUCUAAACAUAAACAACUGAGCUUGCUGAGGAAUAUCGAAGAGUGAACUUCAAUCAACUUUGAACAAUAACUCAGCUUUAUUUCUUCAAUAUUUGGUGACGUAGAAAGGUCUGGUAUUCUAGUAAGGUUCGAAGAAUGACUCAGGUUGAGCCUUUUCAACUUGGGUAAAUUCUGCCACAAAAUGUAAAUGAAUCAGGUAACACAAAAACUAAAUUAAAGUUUUAGGCAAUUUUAUCUAUUUUUCUUCGGUAAACAAUAGAUGACAAUGUCGAAAUACUUUAUAUUAUGCAUGUAUCAACUGACAAAAUAAAACGAUGUUUUCUGAGAGUUAAAAUUAAACCUUAUUUAAAAUAAGUCCAUCUUUCCAUAUUUUAUAAUUUGUUGUAUAUUAUAUUGAAGUUUAUGUUAUAAUAAAAAAAAUGACUUAAUUAAUCAAAUAAUGUGGAGAAGGCACAAAGGAAUUGCAAAUGAAAACUUGUAUAUGUAUAAUACAGAAAACAUGCUUGUAUAAUUUAUUUUUAUCUUUGAAAGUUUAGAACACAAAGGAACAUAGAUAGCUUGAAAAACCUGAUCUCCUUCCCAGAGUUGUUCAAGAUGGUUGCGUGGCAUUUCGAGAGUCACUAGAUUUUGUGGGCAAAACUUUGGAGGCCAAAAUCUUUGAGGGAAAUCGUCCCAAUAUAGAAUCUUUAGAGUGUCCGGCAGACCUACAAGAGAUGAUUCAGGAGACACUUUUGAUUCCAAUCCCAACGUGUAGAGCCUAAGCAUCCUAAGAUUGUCCAUCUUUUCGAAACUUUGUGCAUGUACUACAACUUCUUUUACUUUCCACGUACCCCAGGUAUUUAGUAAUAUACACUGUAUUGCAUCUGACCCCUGAAAGUAAAUCAAUGUAAUUAGAAAAAAGCAUGAAAUGUUGCAUUUCAGAAUGCUUAAUGACAGAUCAGUAGUUUGCUAUUUUUCACAAAGUAACAACAGAAUAUACCUUGUUCUUUCUUAAGACCUCACAAAUUUCCUCAUCAUUAAACAAUCGGCUGCGUUUUCCAGGAUGCUGAGGACACUCUUUAUGAACAAUUUCUUUACCCAUUUCUUGUAUUAGAUCGUGCAUCACAAUUCUACCAUCAAUGACAGAUAUUAGGCCCCUAUCUUUGAGAAUAUCCAUUCCAAUCUUAGAAGAGAAACCAAAGUCAUCAAGUCUUUCUGCUACCUCAAUCUCCUGGCGUCCUCUAUAAAAGCAAGCUAUGUCAAGAAAUAUAUUCUUCUCCUCCUCCUCCAGCCAAUCAUAACUUAAUUUUAAUACAUUGAAAAUACCAAGAUGUUGGCCCUUUUUCAACUUUUGCAACUGACUCUCCCAUGCUUCUUUUGUUCUGCCAUAAAGCAAUGAUCCCAAAAUCUGGAGAGCUAACGGAAUCCCUUUUGCAUAUGUCAACACCUUUUUUGACAGUUCCCUGUAACCAAUUUCUUCUGAAGAUUUUUGUUUAAAAGCAUGUAAACUAAAAAGCUUCUGAGAAUCAUUAAAAUUCAACUCCUUAACUUCGUAGAUAUCAUCAGCUCCAGCAUUCCUAAGCACUUGUCUGUCUCUACUGGUGAUAAUGAUUCUACUGCCCUGCCCAAAACUAUCACUCCCUCUUAUUAAUUUUUGAAGUUGAGCUGAAUCGGUAACAUCAUCAAGAAUGAGGAGAACCUUUGUCCGUUUGAGCUCAGACAGAUAUUUUGUUCUGAUACUGUCUAUUCCAUCUCUUUGUAUUUUUUCUUGAACGUCUAAAACAAGGCUCCUGGAAUCAAACUGCAAUUCCAAUUUGUGAUAUAUUUGAUCACAAAUUGUACUUUUUCCUAUUCCUCCCAUGCCACAAAUGCCUAUGAUCCGAACAUCCGGUAAGUCAAGAUGCAACAAGGACUGAAUUCCUUCAAUAUUUUUUUCAAUGCCGAUGAUUCCUUGAUCAUAACUGGUGGAAUAACGAUUCAAUUUUCUCAAAAUAUCUCCCACAAUUCCUUCAACAAGUGUGUGUUCUGACCUGGCAGAUGAUUUAGAAAAUAAAGUAUAAGUAUUCAAACACAAAAGCUAAAGUAAACUAAAGAAAAAUUCUACAGUAACCGUUUGUGACUUCUGAUAAUAGGGAGCAGAUUUGUAGGUACAAAGUUAAGCUAUAAGAUGUGAUAUGGUUCAGAUCCAUGACCGACUAAGAGAAAUGAAAAAAGAAACACUUGAUUUAUGGUGAGAUGAACACAAUUUUAGUAAAUGAAAAGAGAUCCUGAUUAUCUAAUAAAUAUAAUGACCUGGUGACUUUUGAAUCCCAGCCUGAAAGUCCAGCAGCUUCGGUGAGAGCAUCCUUCCAUCCUUGCACUUUGUCCAUGUCGUGCUUAAACUGCUGCUCAUGCUUUUCGAAUGCUUCUUUGUAUCUUUGUUCCUGCUUCCUAAUAGUUGAUGGAUCCACCUUGUAGAAAACAGGUAUGACAUCCCUUCCAUAUCUCUUCUUGCAAUCAAGUAUCUUAGUGAGUUCAUUCAAGCACCAAGUGGAAGAUGCAUAGUUUUGGGAGAAAACGACGAUAUAAAUCUUCGAUUCUUCUAUUGCAGAGAGCAGUGCAGAUGAAAUUUCUUCGCCCCGGGGUAGUGUCUCAUCAAUAUAUGCUUCUAUGUUCUUCCUUUGCAGUGCUGGAUGAAGGUGGCUAAUGAAGUUGUCACGUGUGUCUUCCCCUCUGAAGCUGAGAAACACAUCAUGCUUUGUUAGAGAAGCAGACAUGGCCAAUGAUGAAGAACUUGCUGACAUUGGAAUCAAUUUUCUCUCCUUUCUCUGCAACUCUCAGUGCCUUUGU